UUUUUUUUGGUUUUGCCCUUGUUUGGCAAAAAAAAUCUGUGUGUUAUCAGAUGCCACUGUUGGGUAAUGUUGCAUGGAAAAACAAAAAAAAAUCUACGCACACGCAAUGAUCUAUCCAUGGAGAUGCAUAGCAACGAGGGGGAGAGUGUGUCUACGUACCCUUGUAGACCGAAAACGGAAGCGUUUGACAACGUGGUUGAUGUAGUUGAACUUCUUCUAGCUCUGACCGAUUAAGCACCGAACGUAGGGCACCUCCGAGUUAUGCAGACGUUCAGCUCGGUGAUGUCCCUCGUCUUCUUGAUCCAGCAAGACGUCGAGGAAGUAGAUGAGUUCCAUCAGCACGACGGCGUGGUGACGGUGAUGGUGAAGUGCUCCGUGCAGGGCUUCACCUAAGCACCACGAGAAUAUGACCGAGGGUCUAAACUGUGGAGGCGGGCGUCGCGCACGGCUAAAAAUUGUUCCCCUGGGGGGUUCUGGUAACCCCCCCCCCCCGGUACUCCGAUAAAUACCCGAUACAUUCUAUAACACUUCCGGUGUCCGAAUACUAUCGUCUUGAAAGUGCAACUAAUCCCUGGGUGCUUUUGGUAACUCAUAACAACUUAUAGCUCAUGUCACUUUCUCAUUUCCAAAUAUGUCCAAAACCUAAAGUCAAACUUGGCCCCGUCGAUUUUAUCUAUCCGGCGCCACCGAGUUCUUUUGAAAUAGCCACUUCCAGAAACCCUCGUCAAUUCGGUCUCACUGAUCGGGAUCUCGGUCUCAUUGGGAUGGUAAUGCAAACUCUUUGUUUCAUUCGUAGCAUUUUGGUCUUACCGAAAUGAGAGAUCAGACCCACCGAGUUCGCAAUGUAAACUCUCUGUUUCCCUUCGUAACGUUUGGGUCUUACCGAAAUCAGCGAUCUGUCCCAUCGAGUUUUCUUGACAAACUAUCUAUUAACUCAUUACUGAAAUCGUUCUCACCGAGUUCCUGCAAUCGGUCACACCGAGAUGAGGUUUUGCCCUAACCCUAGCACAUCGGUCCCACCGAGUUGAUCAUGUCGGUCCCACCAAGAUUCCUAACGAUCACAUUUUGAACUGAAUCGGUCUCACUGAGUUCUCCUAUUCCGUCUGACCGAGUUAGGUCAAAUGUGUGUAACGAUUUUGUGUGGAGGCUAUUUAUACCCCUCCACUCAUUCUCUAUUCAAGAGAGAGAGACAUCAGAACGUGCCUAGACUUCCACUACUCAUUUUCUGAGAGAGAACCACCUACUCAUGUGUGUGCUUGUUUGAUUCCUAUGCUACUAUAUUUGUGCUUGUUUGUGAGAUACUUUUGUGAUCAUGUGGUUGAUCAUAUUAUACUUUAAUGUGGGCUUGAAUGAUGAUAUUUUAAUACUUGUGUAUGAUCAAUCAUGUUUCCCUUGGUGAUGAGUGCAUGUACUUUAUAUCUUAUCAUUUUGAGCGCUCCACCAAGAUGUCUGUGACAUGGUGAAGGAAAUAUGCCCUAUAGGCAAUAAUAAAGUUAUUAUUUAUUUCCUUAUAUCAUGAUAAAUAUUUAUCAUUCAUGCUAGAAUUGUAUUAACCGGAAACAUAAUACAUGUGUGAAUACAUAGACAAACAGAGUGUCACUAGUAUGCCUCUACUUGACUAGCUCGUUAAUCGAAGAUGGUUAUGUUUCCUAACCAUAAACAAAAGAGUUGUUAUUUGAUUAACGGGAUCACAUCAUUAGGAGAAUGAUGUGAUUGACAUGACCCAUUCCAUUAGCUUAGCACCCGAUCGUUUAGUAUGUUGCUAUUGCUUUCUUCAUGACGUAUACAUGUUCCUAUGACUAUGAGAUUACGCAACUCCCAUUUGCCGGAGGAACACUUUGUGUGCUACCAAACGUCACAACGUAAAUGGGUGAUUAUAAAGGUGCUCUACAGGUGUCUCCAAAGGUACAUGUUGGGUUGGCGUAUUUCGAGAUUAGGAUUUGUCACUCCGAUUGUCGGAGAGGUAUCUCUGGGCCCUCUCGGUAAUACACAUCACAUAAGCCUUGCAAGCAUUGCAACUAAUGAGUUAGUUGUGAGAUGAUGUAUUACGGAACGAGUAAAGAGACUUGCCGGUACCAAGAUUGAACUAGGUAUGGGAUACCGACGAUCGAAUCUCGGGCAAGUAACAUACCGAUGACAAAGGGAACAACGUAUGUUGUUAUGCGGUCUGACCGAUAAAAGAUCUUCAUAGAAUAUGUAGGAGCCAAUAUGAGCAUCCAGGUUCCGCUAUUGGUUAUUGACCGGAGACGUGUCUCGGUCAUGUCUACAUUGUUCUCGAACCCGUAGGGUCCGCACGCUUAAGGUUUCGAUGACAGUUAUAUUGUGAGUUUAUGAGUUUUGAUGUACCGGAGUUAGUUUGGAGUCCCGGAUGUGAUCACGGACAUGACGAGGAGUCUGGAAAUGUCGAGACAUAAAGAUUGAUAUAUUGGACGGCAAUAUUCGGACACCGGAAGUGUUACGGGGAAGUUUCGGAUAAAACCGGAGCAUCGGGGGGUUACCGGAACCCCCCAGGGGUUAAUGGGCCUCAUGGGCCUAAAGUGGAGAAGAGGAGGGGCUGCCAGGGCAGGCCGCGCGCCCCCUCUCCCCCUAGUCCGAAUUGGACAAGGAGGGAGGGGCGGCGCCCCCCCCCCCAUUUCCUUCUCUCCUUCCCCCUCUCCUACUUGGACAAGGAAAGGGAGGGGAGUCCUACUCCCGGUAGGAGUACGACUCCUCCUGCGCGCCUCCUACUAGGGCCGGCCGCACCCCCCCUUGGAUCCUUUAUAUACGGAGGCAAGGGACACCCCUAGAGACACAAGUUGAUCCUCGUGAUCAUAUUAUUAGCCGUGUGCGGUGCCCCCUUCCACCAUAAUCCUCGAUAAUAUUGUAGCGGUGCUUAGGUGAAGCCCUGCGAUGGUAGAACAUCAAGAUCGUCACCAUGCCGUCGUGCUGACGGAACUCUUCCCCGACGCUUUGCUGGAUCGGAGUCCGGGGAUCGUCAUCGAGCUGAACGUGUGCCAAAACUCGGAGGUGCCGUAGUUUCGGUGCUUGAUCGGUCAGGCCGUGAAGACGUACGACUACAUCAACUGCGUUGUGCUAACGCUUCCGCUGUCGGUCUACAAGGGUACGUAGAUCACACUCUCCCCUCGUUGCUAUGCAUCACCAUGAUCUUGCGUGUGCGUAGGAAUUUUUUUGAAAUUACUACGUUCCCCAACAGUGGCAUCCGAGCCUAGGUUUUAUGUGUUGAUGUUAUAUGCACGAGUAGAACACAAGUGAGUUGUGGGCGAUAUAAGUCAUACUGCUUACCAGCAUGUCAUACUUUGGUUCAGCGGUAUUGUUGGACGAAGCAGCCCGGACCGACAUUACACGUACGCUUACGCGAGACCGGUUCUCCCGACGUGCUUUGCACAAAGGUGGCUAGCGGGUGACAGUUUCUCCAACUUUAGUUGAACCGAGUGUGGCUACGCCCAGUCCUUGCGAAGGUUAAAACAGCACCAACUUGACAAACUAUCGUUGUGGUUUUGAUGCGUAGGUAAGAUUGGUUCUUGCUUAAGCCCGUAGCAGCCACGUAAAACUUGCAACAACAAAGUAGAGGACGUCUAACUUGUUUUUGUAGGGCAUGUUGUGAUGUGAUAUGGUCAAGACAUGAUGCUAAAUUUUAUUGUAUGAGAUGAUCAUGUUUUGUAACCUAGUUAUCGGCAACUGGCAGGAGCCAUAUGGUUGUCGCUUUAUUGUAUGCAAUGCAAUCGCGCUGUAAUGCUUUACUUUAUCACUAAGCAGUAGCGAUAGUCGUGGAAGCAUAAGAUUGGCGAGACGACAACGAUGCUACGAUGGAGAUCAAGGUGUCGCGCCGGUGACGAUGGUGAUCAUGACGGUGCUUCGAAGAUGGAGAUCACAAGCACAAGAUGAUGGUGGCCAUAUCAUAUCACUUAUAUUGAUUGCAUGUGAUGUUUAUCUUUUAUGCAUCUUAUCUUGCUUUGAUUGACGGUAGCAUUAUAAGAUGAUCUCUCACUAAUUAUCAAGAAGUGUUCUCCCUGAGUAUGCACCGUUGCGAAAGUUCUUCGUGCUGAGACACCACAUGAUGAUCGGGUGUGAUAGGCUCUACGUCCAAAUACAACGGGUGCAAAACAGUUGCACACGCAGAAUACUCAGGUUAUACUUUACAAGCCAAGCAUAUACAGAUAUGGCCUCGGAACACGGAGACCGAAAGGUCGAGCGUGAAUCAUAUAGCAGAUAUGAUCAACAUAGCGAUGUUCACCAAUGAAACUACUCCAUCUCACGUGAUGAUCGGACAUGGUUUAGUUGAUUUGGAUCGCGUAAUCACUUAGAGGAUUAGAGGGAUGUCUAUCUAAGUGGGAGUUCAUAAUUAAUAUGAUUAAUUGAACUUAAAUUUAUCAUGAACUUAGUCCUGGUAGUAUUUUGCAAAUUAUGUUGUAGAUCAAUAGCUCGCGUUGUUGCUUCCUUGUGUUUAUUUUGAUAUGUUCCUAGAGAAAAUUGUGUUGAAAGAUGUUAGUAGCAAUGAUGCGGAUUGGAUCCGUGAUCUGAGGUUUAUCCUCAUUGCUGCACAGAAGAAUUAUGUCCUUGAUGCACCGCUAGGUGACGGACCUAUUGCAGGAGCAGAUGCAGACGUUAUGAAUGUUUGGCUAGCUCAAUAUGAUGACUACUUGAUAGUUUAGUGCACCAUGCUUAAUGGCUUAGAAUAGGGACUUCAAAGACGUUUUGAACAUCAUGGAACAUAUGAGAUGUUCCAGGAGUUGAAGUUAAUAUUUCAAGCAAAUACCCGAGUUGAGAGAUAUGAAGUCUCCAACAAGUUCUAUAGCUAAAAGAUGGAGGAGAAUCGCUCAACUAGUGAGCAUGUGCUCAGAUUGUCUGAGUACUACAAUCGCUUGAAUCAAGUGGGAGUUAAUCUUCCAGAUAAGAUAGUGAUUGACAGAAUUCUCUAGUCACCAUCACCAAGUUAGUAGAACUUCGUGAUGAACUAUGAUAUGCAAGGGAUAACGGAAACGAUUCCCAAGCUCUUCGUAAUGCGGAAAUUGACGAAGGUAGAAAUCGAGAAAAAUAUCAAGUGUUGAUGGUAGACAAGACCACUAGUUUCAAGAAAAGGGCAGAGGGAACAAGGGGAACUUCAAGAUGAACAGCAAGCAAGUUGCUGCUCAAGUGAAGAAGCCCAAGUCUGGUCCUAAGCCUGAGACUAAGUAUUUCUACUGCAAAGGGACUGGUCAUUGGAAGCGGAACUACCCCAAAUGAUUGGCAGAUAAGAAGGAUGGCAAAGUGAACAUAAGUAUAUUUGAUAUACAUGUUAUUGAUGUGUACUUUACUAGUGUUUAUAGCAACCCCUCAGUAUUUGAUACUAGUUCAGUUGCUAAGAUUAGUAACUCGAAACGUGAGUUGCAGAAUAAAUAGAGACUAGUUAAGGGUGAAGUGAUGAUGUGUGUUGGAAGUGGUUCCAAGAUUGAUAUGAUCAUCAUCGCACACUCCCUAUACUUUCGGGAUUAGUGUUGAACCUGAAUAAGUGUUAUUUGGUGUUUGCGUUGAGCAUGAAUAUGAUUUGAUCAUGUUUAUUGUAAUACGGUUAUUCAUUUAAGUAAGAGAAUAAAUUGUUGUUCUGUUUACAUGAAUAAAACCUUAUAUGGUUACACACCCAAUGAAAAUAGUUCGUUGGAUCUCGAUCGUAGUGAUACACAUAAUCAUAAUAUUGAAACCAAAAGAUGCAAAGUUAAUAAUGAUAGUGCAACUUAUUUGUGGCACUGCCGUUUAGGUCAUAUUGGUGUAAAGCGCAUGAAGAAACUCCAUGCUAAUGGGUUUUUGGAAUCACUUGAUUAUGAAUCAGUUGAUGCUUGCGAACCAUGCCUCAUGGGCAAGAUGACUAAAACGCCGUUCUCCAGAACUAUGGAGCGAGCAACUGACUUAUUGGAAAUAAUACAUACUGAUGUAUGAGAUCCGAUAAGUGUUAAGUCUCGUGGCGGGUAUCAUUAUUUUCUGACCUUCACAGAUGAUUUGAGAAGAUAUGGGUAUAUCUACUUAAUGAAACACAAGUCUGAAAUAUUUGAAAAAAAUUCAGAGUGAAGUGGAGAAUCAUCGUAACAAGAAAAUAAAAGUUUCUACGAUAUGAUCGCAGAGGUAAAAUAUUUGAGUUACGAGUUUGGCCUUCAGUUAAAACAAUGUGAAAUAGUUUCACUACUCACGCCACCUGGAACACCACAGCAUAAUGGUGUGUCCGAACAUCAUAACCGUACUUUAUUAGAUAUGGUGCGAUCUAUGAUGCCUCUUACCGAUCUACCACUAUCGUUUUGGGGUUAUGCAUUAAAGACAGCUGCAUUCACGUUUAAAAGGGCACCAUCUAAGUCCGUUGAGACGACACAAUCUGAACUAUGGUUUGGCAAGAAACCAAAGUUGUCGUUUCUUAAAGUUUCGGAUUGUGAUGCUUAUAUGAAAAAGUUUCAUCCUGAUAAGCUCAAACCCAAAUCUGAGAAAUAUGUCUUCAUAGGAUACCCAAAGGAGACUAUUGGGUACACCUUCUAUCACAGAUCCGAAGGCAAGACAUUCGUUGCUAAGAAUGGAUCCUUUCUAGAGAAGGAGUUUAUCUUGAAAGAAGUGAGUGGGAGGAAAGUAGAACUUGAUAAGGUAAUUGUACCUUCUCCCUUAUUGAAAAGUAGUUCAUCACCAGAAAUCUGUUCCUGUGACUACUACACCAAUUAGUGAGGAAGACUAAUGGUGAUGAUCAUGUAACUUCAGAUCAAGUUAAUACUGAAUCUCGUAGGUAAACCAGAGUGAGAUCCGCACCAAAGUGGUACGAUAAUCCUGUUCUGGAAGUCAUGUUACUAGACCAUGACGAACUUGCGAACUAUGAGGAAGCGAUGAUGAGCCUAGAUUCCGCGAAAUGGCUUGAGGCCAUGAAAUCUGAGAUGAGAUCCAUGUAUGAGAACAAAGUAUGGACUUUGAUUGACUUGCCCAAUGAUUGGCGAGCCACUGAGAUUAAAUGGAUCUUCAAGAGGAAGACGGACGUUGAUAGUAGUGUUACUAUCUACAAAGCUAGAAUUGUCGCAAAAAGGUUUUCAACAAGUUCAAGGUGUUGACUAUGAUGAGAGUUUCUCACUCGUAUCUAUGCUUAAGUCUGUCCGAAUCAUGUUAGCAAUUGCCGCAUUUUAUGAAAUCCAGCAAAUGGAUGUCAAAACUGCAUUCCUGAAUGGAUUUCUGGAAGAAGAGUUGUAUAUGAUGCAGCCGGAAGGUUUUGUCGAUCCAAAAGGAGCUAACAAAGUGUGCAAGCUCUAGCGAUCCAUUUAUGGACUGGUGCAAGCCUCUCGGAGUUGGAAUAAACGCUUUGAUAGUAUGAUCAAAGCAUAUAGUUUUAUACAGACUUGCGGUGAAGCCUGUAUUUACAAGAAAGUGAGUGGGAGCACUACAGCAUUUUUGAUAAGUAUAUGUGAAUGACAUAUUGUUGAUCGGAAAUAAUGUAGAAUUAUUCUGCAAAGCAUAAAGGAGUGUUUUUAAAGAAGUUUUUUCAAAAGAAAGACCUCGGUGAAGCUGCUUACAUAUUAAGCAUCAAAAUCUAUAGAGAUAGAUCAAGACGCUUGAUAAGUUUUUUCAAUGAAUACAUACCUUGACAAUAUUUUGAAGUACUUCAAAAAUGGAACAGUCAAAGAAAGAGUUCUUGGUUGUGUUACAAGGUAUGAAAUUGAGUAAGACUCAAAGCCCGACCACGGCAGAAGAUAGAAAGAGAAUGAAAGUCAUUCCCUAUGCCUCAGCCAUAGGUUCUAUAAAGUAUGCCAUGAUGUGUACCAGAUCUAUUGUAUACCCUACACUGUGUUAAGCAAGGGAGUACAAUAGUGAUCUAAGAGUAGAUCAUUGGACAUUGGUCAAAAUUAUCCUUAGUGGAAUAAGGAAAUAUUUCUCGAUUAUGGAGGUGACAAAAGGUUCGUCGUAAAAAGUUACGUCGAUGCAAGUUUUGACACAGAUCUGGAUGACUCUAAGUCUCGAUCUAGAUACAUAUUGAAAGUGGGAGCAAUUAGCUAGAGUAGCUCCAUGCAAAGCAUUGUAGACAUAGAAUUCACAAAAUACUUACGGAUCUGUAUGUGACAGACCCGUUGACUAAAAUUAUCUCACAAGCAAAACAUGAUCACACCUUAGUACUCUUUGGGUGUUAAUCACAUAAAUGAUGUGAACUAGAUUAUUGACUCUAGUAAACCCUUUGGGUAUAGGUCACAUGACGAUGUGAACUAUGGGUGUUAAUCACAUGGUGAUGUGAACUCUUAGUGUUGAAUCACAUGGCGAUGUGAACUAGAUUAUUGACUCUAGUGCAAGUGGAAGACUGAAGGAAAUAUGCCCUAGAGGCAAUAAUAAAGUUAUUAUUUAUUUCCUUAUAUCAUGAUAAAUGUUUAUUAUUCAUGCUAGAAUUCUAUUAACCGGAAACAUAGUACAUGUGUGAAUACAUAGACAAACAGAGUGUCACUAGUAUGCCUCUACUUGACUAGCUCGUUAAUCGAAGAUGGUUAUGUUUCCUAACCAUAAACAAAAGAGUUGUUAUUUUAUUAAUGGGAUCACAUCAUUAGGAGAAUGAUGUGAUUGACAUGACCCAUUCCAUUAGCUUAGCACCCGAUCGUUUAGUAUGUUGCUAUUGCUUUCUUCAUGAAUUAUACAUGUUUCUAUGACUAUGAGAUUAUGCAACUCCCGUUUGCCGGAGGAACACUUUGUGUGCUACCAAACGUCACAACGUAAAUGGGUGAUUAUAAAGGUGCUCUACAGGUGUCUCCAAAGGUACAUGUUGGGUUGGCGUAUUUUGAGAUUAGGAUUUGUCACUCUGAUUGUCGGAGAGGUAUCUCUGGGCCCUCUCGGUAAUACACAUCACAUAAGCCUUGCAAGCAUUGCAACUAAUGAGUUAGUUGUGAGAUGAUGUAUUACGGAACGAGUAAAGAGACUUGCCGGUAACGAGAUUGAACUAGGUAUGGGAUACCGACGAUCGAAUCUCGGGCAAGUAACAUACCGAUGACAAAGGGAACAACGUAUGUUGUUAUGCGGUUUGACCGGUAAAAGAUCUUCAUAGAAUAUGUAGGAGCCAAUAUGAGCAUCCAGGUUCCGCUAUUGGUUAUUGACCGGAGACGUGUCUCGGACAUGUCUACAUUAUUCUCGAACCCGUAGGGUCCGCACGCUUAAGGUUUCGAUGACAGUUAUAUUAUGAGUUUAUGAGUUUUGAUGUACCGAAGUUAGUUCAGAGUCCCGGAUGUGAUCACGGACAUGACGAGGAGUCUCGAAAUGGUCGAGACAUAAAGAUUGAUAUAUUGGACGGCUAUAUUUGGACACCGGAAGUGUUCCGGGGAAGUUUCGGAUAAAACCGGAGCACCGGGGGGUUACCGGAACCCCCCAGGGGGGUUAAUGGGCCUCAUGGGCCUAAAGUGGAGAAGAGGAGGGGCUGCCAGGGCAGGCCGUGCGCCCCCUCUCCCCCUAGUCCAAAUUGGACAAGGAGGGAGGGGCGGUGCCCCCCCCCCUUUUCCUUCUCUCCUUCCCCCUCUCCUACUUGGACAAGGAAAGGGAGGGGAGUCCUACUCUCGGUAGGAGUAGGACUCCUCCUACGCGCCUCCUACUAGGGCCGGCCGCACCCCCCCUUGGAUCCUUUAUAUAUGGAGGCAAGGGACACCCCUAGAGACACAAGUUGAUCGUCGUGAUCAUAUUCUUAGCCGUGUGCGGUGCCCCCUUCCACCAUAAUCCUCGAUAAUAUUGUAGCGGUGCUUAGGCGAAGCCCUCCGACGGUAGAACAUCAAGAUCGUCACCACGCCGUCGUGCUGGCGGAACUCUUCCCCAAUGCUUUGCUGGAUUGGAGUCCGGGGAUCAUCAUCGAGCUGAACGUGUGCUAAAACUCGGAGGUUCCGUAGUUUCGGUGCUUGAUCGGUUGGGCCUGAAGACAUACGACUACAUCAACCGCGUUGUGCUAACGCUUCCGCUGUCGGUCUACAAGGGUACGUAGAUCACACUCUCCCCUCGUUGCUAUGCAUCACCAUGAUCUUGUGUGUGCGUAGGAAUUUUUUUGAAAUUACUACGUUCCGCAACACAUCGAAGAGUGACCCAUGAUCCUAAUAGAUUGUGCAUUUGCAUUCAAAAGCAAAUAUUAAAUAAUGCACAAAUUUAGGGGGAGCUCUUGUUUAUCACAUACUUCUCAAAGUGGCGAUGUAUUUCAAUUACCAAAAAGGGGGAGAUUGAAAGUGCAACUAAUCCUUGGUUGGUUUUGGUAAUUCAUAACAACAUAUAGCUCAUUGAACUAAUAUCCUUUCAAGUUAAAUAUUUCAGAAAGUUCAAUGAUUGGCAUGGCAUGGAAUAGAGAUGUGGAGCCCUCAAAAUGCUAAGGACAAACAUUGGCAAAAGCUCAAGACUCUUCAUUUUCAUUUUAGUGAUCCAAGAUCACAUUGAGUCCAUAGGAAAAGCCAAUGUUACUAAAAGGGGAUGAGGUGUUGCUUAAUGGCCUACUUGCUCAAAGUGCUUAGUGAUAUGCUCCAAAGCCCUCAACCACUUCCUCAUUUCCAAAUAUGUCCAAAACCUAAAGUCAAACUCAGCCCCACCAAUUUGAUCUAUCCGGUGCCACCGAGUUCUUUUGACAUAGCCACUGCCACAAACCCUAGUCAAUUUGGUCUCACCGAUCGGGAUCUUGGUCUCACCGAGAUGGUAGUGCAAACUCUCUGUUUCCCUUCGUAAUGUUCCGGUCAUACCAAAAUGAGCGAUCGGUCCCACCGAGUUCGCAAUGUAAACCCUUUGUUUCCCUUCGUAACAUUUUGGUCUUACUGAAAUGAGCGAUCGGUCCCACCGAGUUUGCCUGACCAACUCUCUGUUAACUCAUUGCUGAAAUCGGUCUCACCGAGUUCUUGCAAUCGGUCACACCAAGAUGAGGUUUUGCCCUAACCCUAGCACAUCGGUCCCACUGAGUUGAUCAUGUCAGUCCCACCGAGAUUCCUAACGAUCACAUUUUGAACUGAAUCGGUCUCACCGAGUUCUAUUCGGUCUGACCGAGUUGGGUCAAAUGUGUGUAACGGUUGGAUUUUGUGUGGAGGCUAUAUAUACCCCUCCACCCCCUUCUCUAUUCAAGAGAGAGCCAUCAGAACGUGCCUAGACUUCCACUACUCAUUUUCUGAUAGAGAAUCGCCUACUCAUGUGUUGAGACCAAGACAUUCCAAUCCAACCACAAGAAUCUUGAUCUCUGGCCUUCCCCAAGUUGCUUUCCACUCAAAUCAUCUUUCCAUCAUAGCCAAUCUGUGUGAGAGAGUUGAAUGUUUGGGAGACUAUCAUUUGAAGCACAAGAGCAAGGAGUUCAUCAUCUAUACACCAUCUAUUACCUUUUGGAGAGUGGUGUCGGUUAGGUGUCACUUGCGAGCCUCCGACAAGAUUGUGGAGUUGAACCAAGGAGUUUGUAGGGGCAAGGAGAUCACCUACUUCAUGAAGAUCUACUCGAGUGAGGCAAGUCCUUCGUGGGCGAUGGCCAUGGUGGGAUAGACAAGGUUGCUUCUUUGUGGACCCUUCAUAGGUGGACCCCUCCAUGGACUCGCACAGCUGUUACCGUUCGUGAGUUGAAGUCUCCAUCAACGUGGACGUACGAUAGCACCACCUAUCGGAACCACGCCAAAAAUCUCUGUGUCUACAUUGUGUUUGCCUUCUCCAAACCCUUCCCUUUACCUUCAUACGCAAUGUUUUACUUUCUGUUGCUACACUCUUAGAAUUGUGUGUGUAGGUUGAUUGCUUGACUUGUGCUAAGUUGCUAAAAUCAGCCAAGACCUAAUAUUGGGAAAAGGCUAGAUUUUUAUUUGGUCAAGUAGUCUAAUCACCCCCCCCCUCUAGACCUACUUUCGGUCCUACAAGUGGUAUCACAGCUUCGGUCUCCAUCUUCCUUGAUUUCCAUAGCUUUGGUGAUCAUAGCCUUGGUUUCACAACCUAGGAGAGUAUGGCGUCUAGCGAGGGAAAUUACCAUCGUAGAGGUCCUUACUUUGAUGGUACUAAUUUUGCUAGUCGGAAGCAUAAGAUGAAAAUGCAUAUUCUUGUACAUAACCCCGCCAUUUGGGCUAUUGUGCACAUUGGCUUGCAAGGUGAAUACUUCGAGGAUGGAAGAGAACCGGAUCUUGAAGCAUCCGCGGAAUAAUUGAAGAGGUUGCAAUACAAUGCUCAAGAUUGUGAUAUUCUUUUCAAUGGAUUGUGCCCCAAAGAAUUCAACAAAAUCAUCCACCUUGAGAAUGCAAAGGAAAUUUGGGAUACUUUGGUUGAUAUGCACGAAGGUACCGAGUCCGUCAAGGAAUCCAAAUUGGAUGUGCUUCAAAGUCAACUUGACAAGUUCAAAAUGAAGGAUGGUGAGGGAGUCGCUGAAAUGUAUUCUAGGCUUGCUCUCAUCACAAAUGAGAUUGCCGGCUUAGGAAGUAGUAUCAAUAUCCUUUACUAUGAUACCUUCCACCAUAUGGGAUUGACAAAUAAGAAUCUUAAACCGUCGAACGCCAUUUUUCAUGGUGUGGUGCCUGGUAAAUCGGCGUAUCCAGUAGGCAAGAUAGCCCUAGAGGUGGCUUUUGGAGAUGAUCAUGAUUCAAGGUCAGAAACAUUGACUUUUGAGAUGGUGAAAAUCAAAAGUCCAUAUCAUGCCCUGUUCGGAAGACCGGCUUAUGCCAAGUUCACGGCGAGGACGUGUUAUGUGUAUCUAUAGCUUAAGAUGCCGGGUCAUAAGGGGACCAUCACAGUACAUGGGAGCAGGAAGAUUCCUUUGGAAUGUGAAGAGGGUGAUGCGGCUUAUGCUGAGUCGGUUUGUGCCACAGAGGAGCUGAAGUUUUAUAAAGACAAGGUUGAUCCGGCACACAUGACUUCUUUGAAAAAACCAACUACGGAGCAUGAUCCGGCGUUGAAGUUUAAAUCGGCUACAGACACUAAGAUGGUUGAUUUUGUUCCUGGCGAUUCAUCCAAGCAGUUCAGCAUCAGCGCUAACCUGGAUCCCAAAUAGGAAAGCGCGCUCAUCGAGUUCAUCUGUGAGAACCGGGACAUCUUUGCAUGGAAGCCUUCUGACAUGCCAGGUGUACCGAGGGAACUUGCUGAGCACACACUUAAUAUAGAUCCUAAGUUUAAACCGGUCAGGCAGUUUCUUCGCUGAUUCAACGAAGAAAGGCUAAGGCUAUUGGUGAGGAGGUAGCUUGGCUGUUGGCCGCAGGGUUUAUUGUGGAGGUCUUUCACCCGGAGUGGCUAGCUAAUCCGGUGCUGGUUCUUAAGAAAAACGACACUUGGCGUAUGUGUGUGGACUACACAGAUUUGAACAAGGCUUGUCUAGCAGAUCCCUUUCCUCUUAUUGAUCAAAUUAUUAAUGCUACAGCGGGUUGUGACCGUUUAUGUUUUCUGGAUGCUUACUCUGGUUAUCAUUAGAUCAAAAUGGCAGAUAAGGACCAGGAGAAGACAGCUUUUAUAACUCCCUUUGGAGCCUUCUGCUAUGUCUCCAUGCCGUUUGGGCUCAAGAGUGCCCAGGCGACUUAUCAGCACUGUGUUCAGAAUUGUCUUCAUAAGCAGAUUGGACGCAAUGUUCAUGCAUAUGUGGAUGAUAUUGUGGUGAAGUCCAGGAAGGAGGAAACAUUGAUAGAUGACUUGAGAGAGACUUUUGACAACCUCUGGGUUUAUAAGAUGAUGCUUAAUCCAGACAAAUGUGUCUUUGGUGUUCCGGCAGGCAAGCUCUUGGGUUUUCUGGUGUCUAACAGGGGCAUUGAGGCUAAUCCGAAAAAAAAAUCAGCUAUCACGUCCCUGGCUAAACCGGCGUGUAUCAAUGACGUUCAACGUUUAGCAGGCUUUUUGCGGCUUUGACCCGGUUUAUCAAUCGUCUUGGGGAGAAAGAUAUCCAUUUAUAUCAGAUGUUAAAGAAAACGGAUGACUUUGUCUGGAGCGACGCGGCUGAUAAAGCAUUUGAGGAUUUGAAGAGACAGUUAGUUGAACCGCAUGUCCUUGCAGCUCCGGUCGAUAAAGAGCCUUUACUGCUAUAUGUGGUUGCUAAUGCCCGGGCUGUUACCAUGGCCAUUGUUGUGGAGCACAAGGAGGCUGGAAAGGAGUAUCCGGUUCAAUGGCCGGUUUAUUAUAUCAGUGAGGUGCUUAUCGAAUCGAAGCAGAGGUAUCCGCAUUGGCAGAAGCUGGUGUAUGGAUUUUUUAUGGCAAGCCGGAAGCUCAAGCACUAUUUUCAGGGUCAUCCUAUCACAGUGGUUAGUUCAGCCCCUUUGGGAGAUAUCAUCCAAAAUAGAGAGGCGACUGGCCGGGUUGCCAAGUGGGCUAUUGAGCUUGGACCUCACAGGCUCAAAUAUACACCUCGCACAGCGAUCAAAUCUCAAGCACUUGUGGACUUCAUCAAUGAUUGGACAGAGUUGCGGGUACCAGAGGAAAAGCCAGACAACACUUAUUGGACUAUUCACUUUGAUGGGUCCAGGCAAUUGGAGGGCUCGGGGCUGGAGUCAUAUUAACUUCCCCACGAGGUGACAAGUUUUGUUAUGUUCUCCGCUUAAUGUUCCCUUGUACUAACAAUGCAGCUGAGUAUGAGGCCUUACUCCAUGGUCUGCGGAUGGCUAAGGAGAUGAACUUAAGCCGGGGUAAGUGAUACGGUGAUUCGGACCUGGUGGCUCAGCAGGUAUCUGGCACUUGGGAUUCUAAGGAUCCACUCAUGGUUGCAUAUCGACGGGAGGUGGACAUAGUGGCUGGUCAUUUCAAAGGUUAUCAAGUUAACCAUAUAGACCAGUGAAAGAAUGAAGCGGCGGACGCUUUAAGUCGUCUAGGCUCUCAGCAUAAACCAGUGCCACCUAAUGUCUUUCUCAACGUACUCCAUAAUCCGUCAGUCAAGAUACCAACAAAGGUGGAAUUGGCUAUUCCUAACCCGGAGGCCUAGUUGGUGGCGACUCUGCAUGUUAUACCGGAUUGGACAGUCCCGUACCUGGCCUACAUGAACCGGGACGAGUUACCGGAGGAUGAAACCUUGGCCCGGCAGAUAAUCCGGCGAUCCAAGUCAAUGACCAUUGUCAAUGGGGAGUUACAUCAUUACAGCGUCACAGGAGCAAUUCAGCAUUGUGUGUCUCCUCAAGAGGGUUGUGAGAUUUUGCAAGAAAUCCACGAAGGAGAUUGUGGUCACCAUGUCGGUUCAAAUACUUGGUGGCUAAGGCUUUUUUCACAGCUUCUAUUGGUUGACGGCUCAUGCUGAUGCUGAGGAUUUAGUAAAGAGGUGUGAUGGUUGUCAGAAGUUUGCACGCCGCGCCCAUGUUCCGGCCCAGGAGUUGAGAAUGAUUCCAAUCACUUGGCCAUUUGCAACUUGGGGGCUCGAUAUGGUUGGGCCCUUUAAGAGAUCCAAGGACAAAAAGACCCACCUGUUGGUGGCGGUUGACAAGUUUACCAAGUGGGUAGAGGCAGAGCCAGUUAGUAAGUGUGAUGCAGCCACGGCGGUUCAAUUCAUCAAAAAGGUGAUAUUCCGGUUUGGUUUUCCACACAGCAUUACAACUGAUAAUGGUACUAAUCUUGACCUAAUAAUAAAGCAAAUUGGGUUUCUUUCGUCCGUCAUGGCAUUUUUCAGAAAAGUCCUUCUAUUUCAGAGAAUUCAACCCACAGUCCUGUUUUAAGUUAAAACGAAUCGUUAUUUUCAUAUUUUACACAAAAGUCCUUGUCUUUUAUUGAAAUCAACCCGCCGUCCAGAUUUAAGUCACACCCGAACCAUUAUUUUACAUUUUUCGAAACCCCCCUCAUGUUUUAGGUAAUUCAUCUGCGGAUCAUAUUUAAGUCAAACAAAUGUUUUUUAAAAUCAUCCAUAUCUUUUAAACCGUAACUCCGAUUUGAACUUGUUAUAUAUGAAUUUUGAUUACAAAAAUAUGUAGAAUAUGAGUAUGAGAUUAUUUUUACCUUUUAAGUAUUUUUAAAUAGUAUUUUGAAAUAUAUUUGAGUCAAACCAAAUGAUCUUUUAAAUUAUCUGUAUCUUUUAAACCGUAACUUCGAUUUUAACAUAUUAUAUAUGAAAUUAUAUUAGAAAAUGUGUGGAAUCUAAAUAUGAUGUUGAUUUUACCUGUUAAAUAUUUUUUAAAUAUUGUUAUGGAAGCAAACUUAUAAUUUAUAUCGCAAGAUUCGUUUUUUCAUACCGGCGGCGAUCCGGAUUGCAAAUAAACAGCCCACUAUAACCAUGUACGGAAAAGAAAACAUCGAUAACUACACAUGCAUACCUCUGAAAAAUGUCGCAGUGGAAAACAACAGAUUUCUCAUCGCGAGAGUGAGAGAAAGCGAGAGAGAGAGAGGGAGAGGGAGGGAGAGAGAGAGGGAGAGGGAGGAGAGAGGGAGAGAGAGACGCCUUAGGAUUAACCAUAUUCAACACACGUUUUUUGUUGUUUUGUGUGAACACCGAGGCCAUCGCCGGCGAGGGUGAGAAGGAGGAUAAGCGGUAACACAAAUAUGAUGCCUCGAAAAAAUAAAAGAGAUGGACCUGUUAUGGUCUUGAGUGAUGGUUGUUGAGUUAAGAUCGUGUGUUAUGUUUUCUCUCCUGUUGCAACGCACAGGCUAUUUUGCUAGUCUAUCCAAAGGUGAUAUGGAGGAAUUUUGUCAACGUGAGCACAUCCGGCUUGAUGUAGCGUCAGUGGCUCACCCCCAGACUAAUGGUCAAGCAGAGAGGGCAAAUCAAGAAAUUUUGAGAGGUAUUAAACCCCGGCUUCUGGUUCCUUUAAAGCAGACGCCGGGUUGUUGGGUGGAGGAGUUACCUUCCGUUUUAUGGAGUAUCACAACCACACCAAACAGAUCUACGGGUUACACGCCUUUCUUCAUGGUUUACGGAGCAGAGGCGGUUCUCCCUAGUGACAUCCGUCAUGUCUCACCCCGUGUGGCGGCUUACGUUGAAGCUGAGAAUGAGAAAGCACGCCAGGACUCACUGGACCUGUUAGAUGAGGAGCGUGAUUUAGUAGCAGCACGUUCGGCGAUUUAUCAACAAGAUCUCCGACGUUAUCACAGCCGCCGGGUUAAGACCAGAACUUUUCAAGAGGGCGAUCUGGUGCUCCGGCUCAUCCAGGAUCAGACUGAUAUGCACAAGUUAUCCCCACCUUGGGAAGGACCUUUUGUGGUCAGCAAAAAUUUGCACAAUGGAUCAUACUACCUUAUCGAUGUUCGAGAGCACCAAGACUCACGCAAAUCGGAGGAGGAGGCCCAGCGGGCAUGGAAUAUAGCUCUUCUUCGGCCUUACUAUACUUGAGCCACAGGCUCUUCUUAUGUACAUACUUAUGACAAUGUAUAUAUUAUAUAAUAAAUCGGAGCCUCAGUUAAAGCGGGGUCUCUGUUCUUUUUUACAUCAUGUGUGGUUCCAUGGGGGUUUCUACUUACAAAGCGGAGUUCUAUUAACCCGGCCUAUAAAGCCACACAGAUAUGAAGGAAAUCACUAGAGGGCUUGGUCGUAUCCGAACCAUAGCUACACCUCUUGAUAGGCUUAAGACCAAAAAGGGAAAUCACUAGGGGGCUUGGUUGUAUUUAUACCAUAGCUACACCUUUUGAUAGGCUUAAAGCCAAAAGGAAAUCAUGUGGAACCAAAGAGAGUUUGUUGCAUAAAGCACAACUCAAACAUAGGUAACCACCGAGCAUAGCUCAAAUAUUACUUGGGGGCUCCUUGCUUCUCAAAGAACAAUGAGCUUGCACCCUUGUAAUAGGCUAUCAAGCCAGGCUUGGAAGCCAGGUGUAUUCACCUAAAACCCCAGGUUAUCCUGCCUCUUUAAGUAAGCCACUCCGUCUAGGUAAACCUAGUAUGACCCAUUGAACGUUUGACAAGUCAAUCUCAUAGACCUUGAACUUGUCAAAGUUAAAAUGGUGAUUGGUUAAAGAUUGAGGUCCAUCUUAAAAGGCUUUGCAAAAUGGUUUAACUCAGCGGCCUGGCAGCCCAUGAAAAGCCUCGAUUUAGGGCAUGGCAGCCCAUGAAAAGCAUUGCAUAUUUCUUUUGGAUUUGCUGUUUUUAAACAUCUUUUGAUAAGGGAUUUAUGAAUAUUUUCUGAUAAACCGGUGUUUAUUACAACCCAACGUGGCUUUCAACGCUCAAUCGUCAGUACAUGAUCAGUUCUAAACCAAUAGUAAGUUGCUCCGGCCUGGUUUUGACUAGAUGUCACCAGCAUUAUACAAACAAACCGGUGGUUAUCAUAACCGGCAAGAGGAAAAGGAGUCAUCAAUACUCCAGAUUGGUGUUUUCACCCUUACUAUACCAAUGAUUGGACAGCCAACAAGAUAUAUCACGGGCAUCAUCUAUUUUAUAUUACAAUCUUGGUUAUCCAUCCAAGUUAUGUAUUUUUUUGGGAAUCAUGGCCCGUCCAGUGGUAAACCACUAGGACAAUUUCAAGUUCUUAUCUGCAGGAGCAAGUUAAAUAAAAGCCAUAAUGGACUAUGCAUAUAAAUUCCAAAGGCAUGGCAAGUUCUCAGUAUCAAGCAAAACCAACAUGCUCGAUGGCAUGACAGAUAAAGUGUUCACGCUAUCCUAUUACAAGGCGCUUUAAAACAGCCCAAAUUGAAUAAUUGUUUUCAUAGGAGUGGUAGACUACAACUGAUAAACCGGCUUCCGGUUUAUGAUUCUUCAUCCGGACUUGAAAAUUGAGGGUCAUCUUGAGCGGUCACAUUCUCCUCAUCCCUACCCAGUCGCUGGAAAUCAGUCGUUGACCAAUCGAUUCCAGUUAAGGCCUGAAAAACGGCUUCUUCAUGAAUAAGGUUGGAAGGGUCAAUGUUAGGAGCAUAAGUAUGCUUACAGAUUGGCGGAACAAGAUCUUCUACAUUACGAAUCAAUGUGGGCUGUUUUUUCCCCAACAUCGUAAACCGGUUGAAAAUGAAAUAGAUCUGUGUCAUCCGCCAAUUUGCUUGCUAUAGGCCGCAUCUCCUUUGUCAGCCUUCGGAGAUCGUCAUUAUUGAAAUCUGAACCAUCUUCCUUCACACCAGGAUAGCCUUUGAUGAUAUCUGCCGGUUCUAGAUCUGGAAUCCACGCCUUGGCCCGGAUUAGCGCGAUCAGUGCACCUGACCUUGUGGAUGAUCUCUUCAGUUCAUCCAACCGGGCUGGCAGCAUGGCCAGCUUUUUGAUGGUUUCUUUUAUCAGCGUUGGAGGAGGCUUGUUAUAAGUUGUCGUGCAAAUCACCCGCUGGGAUCCAGAAUACAACUGUUCUAUCAAAGUAUAGGCCGCUUUAAGCUUCAUCCGCAUGUCGGAGCCCGGAUGAGUAAUGCGGGUCCUUGUCAUUGUAUAACAUCAGUAAACCGGUCAUUGAUAAGAUAUUAUGAAUUAGAAAAACUUCAUGAGAGGGUACACACCAAACACAGCAGGAGUCAUAGCAUUAAUCUGCCGCUUUAAGCCGGUUAGCUCUUCAACCACCGGCUUCAGGGCCGCUUCUGCAUCUUUGGCCUUCUUUGUUAAACCGGCCUUUUCUGUCUCCUAGUCUGCAUGCUCUUUGUUAAAGGUUUCCUUCAGCUUCCCCAUGGCUACUAAGGCAUUCGUUAAUUCUUCCUUGGCCUUGGAGGCCUCCGCUUGCUGAGAUUUAAUGUUCUCCUGAAGGUCAGCGGUUUGAGCAUCCUUCUUACUCAGUUCGGCCUACAAGAGCAAGAUAAGUCAUCAAUGAGAUAUGCAUAUUUGAAGUACCAAGCGUAUAACAAGUUAUGCACUUUUUCCUUGGGGGCUAAUGCCUAUUGGCUCUAUUAUCAGAAUUUUUUUGCAAGUCCCAAGUACAAUGCAUGCAUUAUCCUUGACACUUGGGGGCUAAUGUACAUCUGUUCAAAGUUGAAGCAUUGAUUCAAGACCUGGUUUACCUUGGAAAGAUAAACCGGCCCUUGGGGGCUACACAGAUGAAAGCUACAGGAAUACAACAAUUAAGUACCGGUUUAUCACAUGAUUACCUGACAUAUGGAGGAUAAGCAUGCAAUGAUUGAGAUAUUACAAAGUCCCGAUAUAUGAUUGCUAUCAUAAACUGGCCCUUGGGGGCUACUAGAGUUGGUAUUUAUAAUUGGGCUUAAGAAAGGAAAAAGGUAUGUCAAUACCUUAUAGCGCUCCUUCAUUAGAUUCACCAGACCGGCCUCAUAAUCACGAUUUGAGUGCAGACGGUUUAGGAAACCAGAGUGGAGUUCUUGAGCACUAAGAUGGGCAUAGCUGGAUAAAUCAGUGCUCCAUUUUCCUUUCUCCAUAGCAGUACGCUCUUCCUUGGCACUAUGUUUUGCCAAAAUAACAGGAUGGCCAGGAGAGGUGUGACCAAUACCAGUAAUGAUAACCUCGCCUUCUUUGUCUCCAGCAGCCUUUUCUGGAGUUGAUAGAGUAUCAGCAGUUCUCACUGGACCAGCAGGUCUGUCAUCAGUCCGGAUUGGGUUUGCCGGUUCAUCAUCUGGCACAGCAGUAUCAGCUUCUGCUUGUUCAUCAGUGUUAUGAUCUUGAGGGGGUGGUUCAUCAAAUGUGGCCUCAGUAUUCGGACCCUCUGGUUCAUCAGUUUGCUCCGGUUCAAUAAGCACCUGGUCUUCGGGCGGAUUAUUCACCCGAGCCUUUUUACUGGGUCUGGCUUUGGCUCUAAACAGAACAAGAUGCAAAGGUUAGCAUAGCAUAUAAAGUACGAAGCAUGAAAAGAAGGGGGUGAAGUACUUACCCAGCUACGGUUUUGAGAGGAGGGAGUUGGGUCGUUGUUGACUCGCCAGAGGAUGAAGGAGGUGUCACCUGAUAAUUCGAAUCAGACGGAUUAAGAGGUUGUCGGAAAUAGCCUGCCUUGGGAUAAGAAGUGUCAGAAGUGCGUGAGACCUCAGAUCAGCGUUUUCAAACCGGGGUGUCCGGUAAACCGGUCGAAGUAACCUUUUGACCGCUAUGUCGGGUUGUGCGGCGAGCCUCGUGAUGAUGUUUCUUCAAAAUAAAUGUUGGAUCCAAGUGAGCAAGAGGAUGAGACAAGCUUACUUUCUGGACCGCUUGACAGAUUUUCUGUGUUGGCAGAGAGUCUGAACCGGAGGAAAGGAUAAUUACCUCUGCAUCGUCAGCUUGGCUGCCCUCAACGUCCUCCUGAUAAGUAUCAUUGUCAAUGAGAUGCAUGAAAAAUGAACCAAGUGAAUCAAGUUCUACCUCAACUUCCGGUUCAUCCGGGUCGUCAUCCAGUUCUAAACUGAGGCGUUCAGGUGCCUUCCUCUUUGUGGUUUUCUUGACGGCUUUUGUUUUAGGACGGGGAGGCUUUGCUACUUUUUCUUGAGGUUUCUUCUUCCAGAAUGGAUCAUCACCCUAUUUAAAAAUAAGCAGAAGGGUAUUCAAAGAUUGUACAGUCUAAAGAUAUCAAGUGUAAAGUGGAAGAACAAUACUUACAGCAGGUGGUUUGUUUUGCGUGUAAAAAGGGUUUAAUCCGGUCCGGUGACAGACAGCUUCCAAUUUGUUCAAUAUUUUCUUGACAACCUCAUUGACUUCUUCAUCUGUUAGCUGAAUAUUGAUAUGACGUUGGGAGUCUUCUACUUCACCAGUAUACUCGCACAUUAAGCCGGAGCGGUGACUUAACGGCAAAUACUCCAGGAUAUCCAGCAACGGACGAAGUCUACACCUGUUAAACCGUUGGCCAAGAAGGCUCUCAGCUUGGCGAGUUGAGGUGCGUACAGGGCCCGUUCCUGGGCACUUAGUCGUUGUGGAAGUGGAUGAGUAUUGGCAAGCCGGUGGGCACGGUAACCCGGCAGAGGGUUCUCAUCUUCACGGGAGGUGUCUCUACAAUAGAACCAAGUUUGAUUCCAUUCUUUAGGGCGAUUGUGCAGCUUGGCAUGAGGAAAUUCAACCUCUUUUCUGAAUAGAUACGCCGCCAAGUUCAGUAUUGGGUCCAUCUACAAACUCAGUGCGACGGUUCAGAUGGAAGAAAUCUCGGAACAACUCAACAGUUGGCUCUUCUUGUAGGUACACUUCACAGAAAACUUGAAAGUUGCAUAUAUUGGAUACCGAAUUGGGUCCAAUAUCUUGAGGGUGGAGUUGAAAGCUGGCAAGCACAACCCAAAAAACCUUUGAUCCAGGCGGUUUAAAACCACGGCCUAUGUGAUCAACAAACACCACUACCUCACCCUGCUUAGGGGUGGGAGGAUUUUCCAGCCCAGGAACUCGCCACCGGAUCUCAUUCUUCUUUGGUGAAGUACCGAUCUUGACCAUUCCAUUUAGUUGCUCCUCUGUAACCUGAGAGGGAGCCCAGUUGCAGGAAUAAAACUGCUUGGCCAUUGCAAGUGAAAAGCUGGAAAGAAAUGUCGGUUUACAAUUCAUUCAUAGUGAUGCAUAAGGUGCAACAGGACAAAGGAAUCCAAGUAUGUGAAAUUGGUAAACCGGAGGAUGAUACAAUUGUGAAUGACAAAGCGAUAAGUGGAAAAAGAGAUAUACACAUAUUAUUAAACCGGAGUAUGACAACGGAGAUAAAGGGAUUGCCGGUUUACAAGGGGACUAAUGGUAUAUAAUAGAUUACUCUCUACAAGGGUAAACUGCCUAUGUGAUAAAGAAGGUACAUAUCUAAGGCAAGAACGACUAAGGUAAAACAGGUUUCACAAGAUUGCAUUGAAAUUCUGGAUCUACCGUAUGUCAGGAAAAGGGAAAAAUAUUGAGACUUAAAAGUUUGGUCCUGAAGCAGUUCACAAAGGGUCCAGAUCAAGUUACGAUGUAUUUAAAGUUUGGGUCAAAUGGCUAAGAUAAGGAGUUCCAUAGCUACAGUGCGGAACACGCCAAGAUUGAGCUCCGCUAUCUAUGGGUGGACGAAGAACACAAGGGGAGCGACAUGAACCCGCACGAACCCUAAUGGAUCUACAGAGGAAAGAGGAAGGGCUUACCGCUGCUCUUGAGGUAGCGGAGAUGCGCCGCGUAUUUCUGGUGUGACCUGGUCGAUGCAGCGGCCGUUGGUGAUGCAGAGGUGAAGCUCGAUGACGGCGGCAUUGCAAGGAGGAAGAAGAAGCGAGGAGACGAAGGGGGAAAAGUAAGAUGACCCUUGGUCCUAUUUAUAAGGUAAGUGGAGAGGUGACAGGCGCGAGAAUCGAGGAGCCUGAAUAUUGGAUACCUAACGGAGUGGUCGCCUCGAUUGUCGGAAGCUCAUUAACUGAAGGUGAGAGGUAUCAUUUUUAAAUAAUAAAGUGACGUCAUGGCGGUUUAUCAUGAUCCUGGAGUAUGACAUCAUGGCGGUUUACAAGAUCAAAGCAAAGAUGCAAAGGAGGAAUUUUUCUAAGUGUUGAAGAUUGACAUGAACAAGUUCAAAUCAAUCUGGGGCCUAAUGUUGGGGAUAUUACUACUGGAUGUAAACCGGCCAGGAGUAGCCGGGUUAACCUUAUAAAGAUUAGAAGCCCAUGAAGACGUAAGGAUGGUGGCGCUUUACAAAGGCCCAAGGCCCAAAGGCGGUUAAGGCCUGUAGAUGUAAACCGACUUUCUCAUGUAACUUGUAUUGUAAGAUAGGAAGGAUAGAGACCGAGCCGGACACGUUUAUGAUCCGGACUCGGGACUCCGUAAACCGGCGGGCGUUAACCUGUGUAUAUAAAGGGACGAUCCGGCAGCGGUUUAGGGACAACACACAACAACUCAAGAGCCAGGCAAAGCGGAAUCGCUCCCUGGUCAUUGAAACCCUAGCAAUACCAACACAACUAGACGUAGGCUUUUACCUUCAUCGAAGGGGCCGAACUAGCAUAAAAUUCUCGUGUCCCUUGUCCGGUUUAACCCCUUUAAGCUAACCCAUAGCGAUGGCUCCACGACUAAGUCCUUUCACGUGGAUAUCUACCGUGACAAAACCACGACAGUACCCGUCAUCGUGCUUUCAGACAACCAAGGUUUGAACAAAAUCUCAAUGGAUUCUGCUACUAUGCUUCCCGACUGAUCUGGGGUAAGUGCCCGCGAGGAGCAACUUGGUGACAUUCGAUCAUCUCUCGGAAGAGGUUAACUUGUGAUCAGAGUAUGGAUGGGUCAUUAAAUCCGGGCAAAAAGAUUGACGCAUGGACUGUUCUCUCGGAGAGAUGCCAUUCUUGUCCCGGAGGAACGUCAAUACGAGUCGGUUCUAGAUCCAAACUUACGAGUUUCACGCUUUGAGUCCUGGAAGAAGGCUCAAAACAGGUCCACGGAGGAGUGUUAAACUCACCUUAUAGCAAAUUUUUUUGGUAGCUGACGGGAGCCUUAGAACUUGUUUGUUUGUUGUUCGCCGCAUGGACCUAGCAAUUUUUUUGGUAGCCGAUGGGAGCCUUAGAACUUGUUUGCUUGUUGUUCGCCACUCGCACCGGUCAGGCCGUACCGAGUGGAGAUUACUCUAGUGGGGUCAUGUUGAGUGCACCCAUUGGGUGUAGUCCCCGAGACCGUCGUCGACUGCGGGCAGUCGGCGGGGGUCUGAGAGAACUAAAAAUCUUCUUAGCUCGUACGGAUAGAAGUUGUUCCUCUCCAACUCGGAGGUCGAGUAGUACUUGAGGAUCUGGUACUGGUCUAGCUUGCCCUUCCUCGACUCAGAAGUCGAGUAGCACUUGAGUGAUCUGGAGAUGGUCUUUGAUGUCUACUACACAACCUUCUUCUUGUAGACGUUGUUGGGCCUCCAAGUGCAGAGGUUUGUAGGGCAGUAGCAAAUUUCCCUCAAGUGGAUGACCUAAGGUUUAUCAAUCCGUAGGAGGCAUAGGAUGAAGAUGGUCUCUCUCAAGCAACCCUGCAACCAAAUAACAAAGAGUCUCUUGUGUCCCCAACACACCCAAUACAAUGGUAAAUUGUAUAGGUGCACUAGUUCGGCGAAGAGAUGGUGAUACAAGUGCAAUAUGGAUAGUAGAUAAUGGUUUUUGUAAUAUGGAAAUAUAAAAACGCAAGGUAACUAAUGAUAAAAGUGAUCAAAACAGUAUUGCAAUGCGUUGAAACAAGGCCUAGGGUUCAUACUUUCACUAGUGCAAGUCCCCUCAACAAUAAUAACAUAAUUGGAUCAUAUAACUAUCCCUCAACAUGCAACAAAGAGUCACUCCAAAGUCACUAAUAGCGGAGAACAAACGAGGAGAUUAUGGUUGUUGGGGAACGUAGUAAUUUCAAAAAAAUUCCUACGCACACACAGGAUCAUGGUGAUGCAUAGCAACGAGAGGGGAGAGUGUGUCCACGUACCCUCGUAGACCGAAAGCGGAAGCAUUAUGACAACGCGGUUGAUGUAGUCGUACGUCUUCACGAUCCGACCAAUCCAAGUACCGAACGCACGGUACCUCCGAGUUCUGCACACGUUCAACUCGAUGACGUCCCUCGAACUCCGAUCCAGCCAAGCUUUGAGGGAGAGUUCCGUCAGCACGACGGCAUGGUGACGAUGAUGAUGUUCUACUAACGCAGGGCUUCGCCUAAGCACCGCUACGAUAUGACCGAGGUGGAUUAUGGUGGAGAGGGGCACCGCACACGGCUAAGAGAUCAAUUGUUGUCUAUGGGGUGCCCCCUGGCCACGUAUAUAAAGGAGUGGAGGAGGGGAGGGGCCGGCCCUCUCUAUGGCGCGCCCUAGGGGAGUCCUACUCCCACCGGGAGUAGGAUUCCCCCUUUCCUAGUAGAACUGGGAACCCUUCCAUGUAGUAGGAGUAGGAGGGAAGGAAAGGGAAGGGAAAAGGAGAAGGAAGGAAGGGGGCGCCCCCCUCCUCCCUAGUCCAAUUCGGACCAGCCCAUGUGGAGGGGUGUGGCCACCCUUUGAGGCCUUUCUCUCCUUUCCUGUAUGGCCCAUUAAGGCCCAAUAUGAAUUCCCGUGACUCCCCGGUACUCCCAAAAAUACCUGAAUCACUCGGAACCUUUCCGAUGUCCGAAUAUAGUCAUCCAAUAUAUCGAUCUUGACGUCUCGACCAUUUCGAGACUCCUCGUCAUGUCCCCGGUCUCAUCCAGGACUCCAAGCUCCUUCGGUACAUCAAAACACAUAAACUCAUAAUAUAACCGUCAUCGAACUUUAAGCGUGCAGACCCUGCGGGUUCGAGAACUAUGUAGACAUGACCGAGACACGUCUCCGGUCAAUAAGCAGUAGCGGAACCUGGAUGCUCAUAUUGGCUCCCACAUAUUCUUCGAAGAUCUUUAUCGGUCAGACCGCAUAACAACAUACGUUGUUCCCUUUGUCAUCGGUAUGUUACUUGCCCGAGAUUCGAUCAUCGGUAUCUCAAUACCUAGUUCAAUCUCGUUACCGGAAAGUCUCUUUACUCGUUCCGUAAUACAUCAUCCCGCAACUAACUCAUUAGUUGCAAUGCUUGCAAGGCUUAUAGUGAUGUGCAUUACCGAGUGGGCCCAGAGAUACCUCUCCGACAAUCGGAGUGACAAAUCCUAAUCUUGAAAUACGCCAACCCAACAAGUACCUCUGGAGACACCUGUAGAGCACCUUUAUAAUCACCCAGUUGAGAUGGAAGAAGAUCAGUACCCCAAGACGAAGUUUGUUCCUCAACAAGAGAAGUAUGAGCCCACUUAUUUCAAGGGAACACAAGCUCAAGAUGAUCUUCCACCACAAGACCACAAGCUAAAAGGAAAGGACAAGCUUCAAGAAGAGAUUGAUUCAUUUGAAGAAGCUCCAAAGGCCUUGGUUAAGUGGGUUCCGAAGACUACUUCAACUUCUACUUCAUCAAGUAUUACUACAACUCCAAGGAUUCCCAUCAAGUUGAUGUGGGUCCCAAAGAAUAAGAACUAGAGAGUUCUUGAGGGUGACUCCGCCAACAUACUUUGCGCAUAUUCAUUUUGGAAAGGACAAGUGCAAUCAACUUUCAUAUAUUGCACUAGUUCAAGGAGUCACAAACCCUCUUGUUGGUAAGACAAGGGACAAGGUAACCUAAUGCUUUCAUGGACAUCAUCAUAUGUGUAUCUCACUCUAUGUCUAUGGAUAUCCUUGUAUGUUCCUUGUGGGACUAACCCAUGUAGGUAUUGAAAGUGCAACUCACUCAAAUGGAUUGGUCCAAAUAAUCUACAUCAACAUUGAGCAUCCACAUCUUCAACAUCUACAUGAAGUCAUCAUCGACAAAACCCAAGGUUAGUUCAUCCCUCUUAGGGGGAUAUCACAUCUAGGGGGAGAUUUGCUCUAAGAAUUGAGCUAAAGCAACUCUAAUGGUGUGAACACAACAAUGCUUUAUGUAAAAGUGGUAACCCCACUUGUGCUUAAACGAUGAGUAUGACCUACGAUCAAAUGUUCUCAUUUCACUCAUCAGUCAAUAUACUCAUAUAUAGAUGACCUAGUCAUUGCCAAUUGCUUGAUAGAUGCUAGAGUGUUUUGUGCAUGCUUUUCCACAUAUUUCAUUUGCUAUCUUAUUGAGUGAGCAUGUUGGUUGCAUAAUUUUCUCCAUUCAAGGACAUCCAUUUGUUGCUUUGAUUGUUUGGUGCUUAUCUUUGCCAAAUGGAUGGACAAGAAUGCCUAAGAACUCCCUAUAGCUAUCUAUAUGUUUCUCAUCUCAAACUCUAUUCAUGCUACAUCACAAAGUUUGAUCAAGUCGAAUUCGGACCCUCCGGGUGAGGAGCACUCAGAGCCAGCGAUCCAUCAAGGGCUUAAACUUCCAAAACCUCUUAAUGGCUUUCGGUCUGACCGAUUCAUUCCCUUCGGUCCCACCAAAAUUGUUGAGUUGAUCUAGGUUUUCACCUCGGUGCAACCAAUUAGAACUCUUUGCUCUCACUGAGUUGCAGUAACCACUUGCGAUUCUGCAUCUUGGUGCCACUGAGUCGUUCCACUCGGUCACAUCGACAGUGACUAGGUAUAUAUAUGCCGCGGGUUGAAAUUUGGAAAAAAUUUCAAACACCCAAUCGCGCCUACCCAGCUCUGCCCCCCUCCUGGUCUUCGGAUCGUCUUCGUCGUCGCCAUCGUCCUCCUGCCACUGGUCUCCGCCACCGUCAACGGGAAUCUCCACCGCCGUUGUCGCCGUAGCGAGUUCGUCGCCAAGUUAGGGUACAGACUCGAUCUCUUUGUGCUUUCCUUAACUCUGAUUCUUGCACAAAGAUCAAUGCCAAGUUUCUUGCCAUGAUUGAGACAAAUCUAUCCACCAAAAUUUUCCUUUAGAAUAGAUUUGAUGCAAAAACUUAGGGUUAGGUUUCCGCCGAACUCAUCUCGGACCGGCCGAUCUGAAGAUUUCGGUCUCACUGAUUUGGCUCAGGCCAUUCCACAUGUACUACUCGGUCUGACCGAAGUGUACGAAUGACGAAUCGGUGUGACCAAGUUCUCUUUCUCUGUGGAACCCUAGCAUCUCGGAGUCAUAGAACUGCAUUUCGGUCUGACCGAAACUGUAUGUUUAGACUCUAAAGUUGCUUCGGUGUAACCGAGUUUGUCAUAUCGGUAGCUCCGAAAUGCUUUCUGCAGGAAACUAAAGUUGAGUUUUUGUCUCAAUAUUUUUGCAAAAUAGUUGUACUUUGUGAUGCUCAUCCACUCUACCUAUACCUAUAUAUUCACAGGGUCUGUUUCAAAGAUGUCAGACGGCAGUAAGAACAGGUUAGAGGAGCAGCUGAAUCUUAGUGAGGGCACUAGUCCCUCCAACAGCAGCUAUGAUGAAGGUAGCAGAAGCACCCCAAGCAAUUUGCCUAAGGCUACAACUAGGACAAGAAAGAAGAAAACCUCAGAAUCUGAAGAUGAGGACUUUGUUGUUGAUGAGGAAGUAACCUCAAAGAAGAAGGUGCUCAAGAAGGAGCAAGUUGCAGCUGCUGCCAUCAAGCCUGGUAUGCAUAAGAAAGCUCCUGCCAAGAGGAAGCCAAUGUCAAAAGCCAAAGCCUCCACUCUAGAAACCAUGGAACCAAGAGAGGAAGAGGUUGCUGGAGGAAAGAAGGGGAAGGAAAGAGUCAAGAAGACUAUGGCCAAAGUCAUUGGCAGAUCAUCUAUGAUGAGAGAGUCGGAUGAAGAUGAGGAGGAGGAAGAGCCAGCUGCACCACCUCCAAAGUCUCAGAAGCUCAUAGGGGAUGCUAUCAAGUCUGGGGCUGCUCCAUCUAAGCCCAAGACAGCCCCCAAGCCUCCAUCUCAAGCAUCAAAACCAUUUGCACCCAAGAGAUCCACUAGGAACAUUUCUACUUCUGAGAAGAACAAGGCCCCAAUGCCUGAAGUUCAAGAGGAUGAGGAGCAGCAAGUGCUCAGAAAAUUGAAGCCCAAGAUACCUGACAAUAAUGAUGAUCAUCCAGUUGCUGAAAAUAUGAAGCUAAGAAAGGAUGCAGGUCUGAGAUUGUGGAGAAAAACUGAUCCAUAUGCUAUAAGGAGAAGAACUGUUGUUGAUUAUCGCUUUCGCACCAAAGAACAGCAAGAUUUCUAUGAGGUAGUCUUGUUGGACAAGAAGCCAAUUGUCUGUGACAUGAAAUGGGUUGACUGGAAGUACAUUGAUGACAAUGAGAAUUACUUCCCAUGAGUACAUGAAAGCUUAAGAAUGAACGGUGUUAACACUUUUGUUGGUCAAAAUUUGACAAAAUGGAACAAUGAAAUGAUUAUGCAAUUCUAUUCAACUGCUCAUUUCUAUCCAGAUGGCAAAAUAGUCUGGAUGAUAGAAGGCACAAGGUAUCAAUCGUCAAUUGUUGAAUGGGCCAAGUUGAUCAAUGCCCCCCAGGAAGCUGAAGAUGACAUAGAUGUGUAUGCCAAGCCCAGAAAGGAUCAACUCUAUGGCUCACAUGUAUAAGCUAAUUCCUGAUGAUGCAUUGAAAACUCACAAGUUUGGAUCCAUCUAUUAUCUGCUGUCAGGUCUAACCAUGAUGAACACUAUAUUGAGGCACACUCUGUUGCCCAAGUCAGGAGAUCAUAGAAUGAUCCGUGGUCACUCAAUCAACUUGCUUCAUAUGUUUGAUGUGCCAAAGAAGUUCAAAGUGAUGAGCUUAAUAGUUGAAUAUGAAGAGAACAACAGUUGACCAGAAAAGAUCAUGUGGAUAUGCCCCUCAUAUUCAGAUGCUAAUCAACUCCAAGAUGGGGACAGUGACAUAUCUUCUUGAUAAAGAGCAUCUUCCCCUGAGGCCAGAAUUUGAGGACAACGAGGUUGUCAUGGAUGCAUCACAUCCUACAUCAGUAGAAGCCUAGGAGAAGAGACAAAAAGCAAAGGCAGCAAAGACUUCAACAAUACCAGAUGCUUCAGUUGUCAAUGUCUAGACCAAGCAAGAUCAACUUAGUUAUCUGCUUGAGGCAACCGCGAGAAUUGAGAAAGGACUAGCCACCCUAACUCGGAAUCAAGAGAGUCUUGAGAGGAUCUUUGAGACUAAACUUCAUGAUCUAGAUGUGAAGGUCAGUGAGAUUCAGACCACUAUUGAGAAGCUACAGGAAGGGAUUGAAGACAGGAAUGAUAGAUCUACCACCGACACUUUUCAGCGUGUGCCAAGGGCACUGAGGUCUUCAGCAAUGCCAGUAGUCAAUGACACGAGGACUACCAUCUCAGCACCUACAUCAACUGCCCCAGUCAUUCCUCCAGUUGCAACUCGUCCAGCUCCUCAAACAUCUUCAGAAGCGUUUGCAAAUGAUGUCCUCUCCAUGCCAUCUACGCACUGGAGAUCGUUCCUAUGGUGUUGUAUAGCACUAUGUAUUUUCGAGCUUUUUGGUAACUUGUUGCCAAAGGGGGAGAAAAUGUAUAGAUCAUUAGGCUUCGAGAGAGAGAUAGUGUUUUGCCUUUUGUUUGCCUCUCUUGCUACUUUGAUCAUUUGCUUUGAUCAUGUGUGCUUGUUUGAUUCCUAUGCUACUAUAUUUGUGCUUGUUUGUGAGAUACUUUUGUGGUCAUGUGGUUGAUCAUAUUAUACUUUAAUGUGUGCUUGAAUGAUGAUAUCUUAAUACUUAUGUAUGAUCAAUCAUGUUUCCCUUGGUGAUGAGUGCAUGUUCUUUAUAUCUUAUCAUUUUGAGCGCUCCACCAAGAUGUAUGUGACAUGGAAGAGUGACUCAUGAUCCUAAUCGAUUGUGCAUUUGCAUUCAAAAGCAAAUUUUAAAUAAUGCACAAAUUUAGGGGAGCUCUUGCUUAUCACAUACUUCUCAAAGUGGCGAUGUAUUUCAAUUACCAAAAGGGGGAGACUGAAAGUGCAACUAAGCCUUGGUUGGUUUUGGUAAUUCAUAACAACAUAUAGCUCAUUGAACUAAUAUCCUUUCAAGUUAAAUAUUUUAGAAAGUUCAAUGGUUGGCAUGGCAUGGACUAGAGAUGUGGACCCCUCAAAAUGCUAAGGACAAACAUUGGCAAAAGCUCAAGACUCUUCAUUUUCAUUUUAGUGAUCCAAGAUCACAUUGAGUCCAUAGGAAAAGCCGAUGCUAUUAAAAGGGGAUGAGGUGUUGCUUAAUGGCCUACUUGCUCAAAGUGCUUAGUGACAUGCUCCAAAGCCCUCAACCACUUCCUCAUUUACAAAUAUGUCCAAAACCUAAAGUCAAACUCAGCCCCACCAAUUUGAUCUAUCCGGUGCCACCGAGUUCUUUUGACAUAGCCACUGCCAGAAACCCUAGUCAAUUCGGUCUCAUCGAUCGGGAUCUUGCUCUCACCGAGAUGGCAGUGCAAACUCUCUGUUUCCCUUCAUAAUGUUCCGGUCGUACCGAAAUGAGCGAUCGGUCCCACCGAGUUCGCAAGGUAAACCCUCGGUUUCCCUUCGUAAUGCUUUGGUCUUACUGAAAUGAGCGAUCGGUCCCACCGAGUUUGCCUGACCAACUCUCUGUUAACUCAUUGCUGAAAUCGGUCUCACUGAGUUCCUGCAAUCGGUCACACCAAGAUGAGGUUUUGCCCUAACCCUAGCACAUCGGUCCCACCGAGUUGAUCAUGUCGGUCCCAUCGAGAUUCCUAACGAUCACAUUUUGAACUGAACCGGUCUCACCGAAUUCUCCUAUUCGGUCUGACCAAGUUGGGUCAAAUGUGUGUAACAGUUGGAUUUUGUGUGGAGGCUAUAUAUACCCCUCCACCCCCUUCUCUAUUCAAGAGAGAGCCAUCAGAAUGUGCCUAGACUUCCACUACUCAUUUUUUGAGAGAGAACCACCUACUCAUGUGUUGAGACCAAGACAUUCCAAUCCAGCCACAAGAAUCUUGAUCUCUAGCCUUCCCCAAGUUUCUUUCCACCCAAAUCAUCUUUCCACCAUAUCCAAAUCUGUGAGAGAGAGUUGAGUGUUGGGGAGACUAUCAUUUGAAGCACAAGAGCAAGGAGUUCAUCAUCUACACACCAUCUAUUACCUUUUGGAGAGUGGUGUCUCCUAGAUUGGUUAGAUGUCACUUGGGAGCCUCCGACAAGAUUGUGGAGUUGAACCAAGGAGUUUGUAAGGGCAAGGAGAUGGCCUACUUCGUGAAGAUCUACCCGAGUGAGGAAAGUCCUUCGUGGGCUAUGGCCAUGGUGGGUGUCGAUGUCAAAACCGGCCGAUCUCAGGUAGGGGGUCCCGAACUGUGCGUUUGAAGAUCGAAGGAAAUAUGAGACAAGGGUGACACGAUGUUUACCCAGGUUCGGGCCCUCUUAAUGGAGGUAAAACCCUAUGUCCUGCUUGAUUGUAUUUGUUGAGUAUAGGGGUUUCAAGAGUUGAUCUACCUCAAGAUCGUAAUGGCUAAACCCUAGAUGUCUAGCCUAUAUGAUUUGUGAUAGCCUCUACGAACUAAACCCUUCGGUUUAUAUAGACACCGGAGGGGCCUAGGGUUGUACAGAGUCGGUUUACAAAGAAAGGAAACUACACAUCCGGAUGCCAAGCUUGCCAUCCACGCAAAGGAGAGUCCCAUCUGGACACAGGGGAAGGCCUUCUAUCUUGUAUCUUCACGACCCAUCAUUCUAGCCCAUGCUACACAGCCCGGACACCCGAGGACCCCAUAAUCCAGGACUCCCUCAGUAGCCCCAGAACUUGCCUUCAAUGACGAUGUAGUCUUUGGCUCAUGUCUUUGGCUUUGCAAGGCAGGUUCUUCAUUAUAAUCCGGAUUGUCGAUAAUUCGGCGACAACCUCAACGUCUUUUACAAUUCCCCCUGAUGGCACUUCGAUUUUCAUGCGCGGGAUGAAUAUGAACGGUCCAUGUCUUUUUUCAAAUAAACCCUUCACCACGCUCGGGCGGCGCCUAUAUAAAGGGAUAUGGAUCUCCCAAGGCCAUCUCGCACUGCGCAGAAGGAAAAACGGCCAAGUCUAGCCACAAAACAAAAGCCCUCAUCAUGGCCAGCGCCCCAGGCUCCUCUUCGCGCCCCCACGGCCCUCAAGAGGGAGAUUGGCAGAGUUGCUCCGUGCCUCAUAUUCAACUAAGUUGGCUCCAAACACAGGGCUACCUCCCUCUCGCAGAUCUAGUUCCCGUUCGAGCGGGAUUAUACUCAAUCGGCAACGACGCGAUAGCUGAGAAUUUCCCCAAUCCCAAUAAGGAGGAGAGGGUGUGCUUCGUCCCUUUUCUGUUACGGGGCCUGGGAUUUCCAAUCCAUCCCUUCCUCCGGGGGCUAUCAAAAUUUUACGGCAUCCAACUGCAUAACCUCACCCCAGGUUCGAUUCUCCACAUCUCAGGCUUUGUUGCCCUCUGUGAGUUAUUUCUAGUCAUCGAGCCCCAUUUCAGAUUAUGGAGGAAAUUCUUCUGCCUCAUUCCCCGCCAUAAGGGGGGUUCCAUAUUUGAAGUGGGUGGUGCCGAAGUAUGGCAUAUUACUGGAUCCGGAUACCCUGUAGGAACUCCUAAAGAAGCGUACCCGCAGUGGUCUUCGGAAUGGUUCUAUAUGGAUGAUGUUCCGCUGCCAUAUCCAGUCAGGCGCAGUCUCCCUGAAUUUUCCAGCGCUCCCCUAAAGAAGCGCCUCAACUGGCGUCCCCGAAGUCCCAAAGAAGAGGACAAUGUGGAGAUACAGAGGUUGGUCAGCAAGGUCAGGCUGUUGGCCCACUCCGGACUCUCAAUAGUUGAAGUCAUGGCGAUCGCAAUAAAGAGGUGUGUGCAGCCUCUUCAAUCCAGAGUAACUCCUUUAUGGUGUUACAACGGAGAAGACGACGCGUCCCGUUACAGACGGCAAGGCCCGGAUACCCCAGCCAAAUUGGCCUCCAUUUUGGCCGAUCUAUACAAGGGCGAAAAAGAAGAUUUUCUCCGGUUAAACUGUCGGGAGGCCUAUUCCAUGUACACCCCUAUUGAAUGGGUAAGAUCUCGAUUCGGUUGUGCUUAUUUUAUUGCAUGACAGACACUAAUCGAAUGUACUUUUUUUGUUGCCACCAACUAGUCAUGGAGGAGGAUGAUCGAGGACGUCCACUGUCCUGCUCCUCAGCCGGAGGAUCAGACUCGCGAUAAAGAUGUUGGUUUUUGCGAGGAUCCAGAUAUAUAUAUAUAUAGAGAGAGAGAGAGAGAGAGAAUUUGACGAUGGGGUAUUCUAUCAGGUGAUCCUUGACGGUUUGGAGGUGGCCAUCAUCACUGACUACCCUCGCCUUUACCCAUUCUGCAUUGUGAGUAUCCAGAGGCUUCUUAAUAAGAGGUCCCCAUCUGUACCCUUAUCCAUUGUACUAAUCUGGAUCUUUAACAGGAUCGACGCUCCAGGGACCGUGCCUCCUCGAGGGUGGCCCCCACACAAGGCCGUCGUUCAAAACGGAAAGGGACCAGAAGUACCAAGGAGACUUCAUAGUCUUCCAAGAGGUAUGUGUACUUAAUGCAUGCCUAGGCAUGAGUCUGGAUUAUUAAGAGUCUCCCCCUUUUUAUUUUUAGGAGGAGUACGCGGCAAACGGUGGGAAAAUGCCCAAUUAGCCAAAUGCCCACUAAUCCGGUGUCGAACUCGCUGGCUAGGACGCAAGCAAAUGUCGCGCCCGUUCUGCCUCCUAAAGAGGAUUCGGAUGACGUGUCGGUCACGAAUUCUGAAGUGGAGAGCGUGAUGAAUCACCGUCGCUCGAAGGAAGCUAUGCGUGCUCGGCCUUGUCCGAACAAGAAUUCACCGCACUGAGUUCGACGGAUGCUUAUAUCCGAGCCGCUCAAGAUGGCCUUGCCAGAGCUUACAUCUGUUCUUAAUGAAAAUACACAUAAAGUUUGACACAAUUUUGCAUGGUCGUAUGCCAGUAGCCCCCGAGACUUGAAGCAGUUGGCCCAACUGAUUUAAGGGUCAUUAUAUCAUUAGGUACUCACGGAGAAAAAUAACAGAUUGUCCAAGGAGCUUGAAGAAUAUCGGACCAAGCUAACUGUUGUCACAGCUGAACUAGAAAAUUUGAAGAAUUCUAAGAAGGCACCUGAUGGUAAGCACAACAGUGUCCGGAAAAUACAAUUAUGCGCCAAUAAUGAUUUUUAAAUAUGCAUUGUUUUGUUUUCAGCGGCAAGAUCGAUAGAGCAGUUGGAGGUGAGGCUAAGGGCUGCUCGGGCGGACAAACAACAUGCCGAAGGGCAAGAAGCCAUUGUUCGACGUGUAUUAACAUGGACCAUUAAUGAGAAGAACAAAUGACAGGAUGCAAACAUCAAGCAAGCCGAAGAGCUAAAGGACGUACGAGCCCAACUAUUGGAUGCCUUGAAGGAGAACAGAAAACUGAAAGGCGGCAUAUUCAGUAUGUCCUUUAUCCUGACUUUCAUACGGUCCCCUGAUGGAAAAUUUUACUAAAUUGUUCCUGUAGGUUUGCUAACCGGGCGGCCCGAGGGAGAAGCGUCUGGAUUUCAAGGCGACCUGCUGCAAGAGCUAUGCCAAGUGCACGAGCAACCUCAGAAAGCCAUGAGGAACAUGGCUAAGGCUUUGUGGCCAUCCGAUUCUUCUCGAGAAAUUAUGGAGGAGCUCGUGAAUUUAUUCAAGGGAGCUCUAUGCUCAAAACAAUAAUAAGCUUCUAUUGAGAGAAGCCCCCAGUUGUGGUGGGGUGUGUACAUUUACGAAUGUAUACCCCGCAAGUGUGUGGCUUACCAGAACACAUGUUAGAAAUCGUAUAAAACGAGAAAAAGGAAAAAUUGAAAGGAGGAAAAUGAACGAACAAAGGUAUAUGUCCGGACUUAGGCGUAGAAUCUUCAGAGCCGAGAAGUGUUCCAUGGGUUCGGCUCUAAGCGAUUAUCCGAUGCAUUGUGAAGGCGAUAGGCUCCCCCAAUGAGAACUUCAUCUAUAAUGAAGGGACCCUCCCAUUUGGGUUUGAGCUUGUCCUUUUUCUUCUCUAGUAGGCGUAGAAAGAGCUCACCAACAUUAUAAAUCUUUGUCCGCGCUUCUCUGCUUUGAUAUCUCCGAGCCUGUUGUUGAUAAAAUGCGGAACGUGCCUUCGCAACAUCGCGCUCCUCCUCCAGGCCGUCUAGAUCGUCAUGUCGAUUGAGCUCGGCUUCUCUCUCUUCAUACAUGCGCACUCGAUGUGAGUCAUGAAUAAUGUUGCAAGGCACGAUAACUGAUGUCUACUACACAACCUUCUUCUUGUAGACAUUGUUGGGCCUCCAAGUGCAGAGGUUUGUAGGACAGUAGCAAAUUUCCCUCAAGUGGAUGACCUAAGGUUUAUCAAUCCGUAGGAGGCGUAGGAUGAAGAUGGUCUCUCUCAAACAACCCUGCAACCAAAUAACAAAGAGUCUCUUGUGUCCCCAACACACCCAAUACAAUGGUAAAUUGUAUAGGUGCACUAUUUCGGCGAAGAGAUGGUGAUACAAGUGCAAUAUGGAUAGUAGAUAAUGGUUUUUGUAAUCUGAAAAUAUAAAAACAGCAAGGUAACUAAUGAUAAAAGUGAGCGUAAACGGUAUUGCAAUGCUAGGAAACAAGGCCUAGGGUUCAUACUUUCACUAGUGCAAGUUCUCUCAACAAUAAUAACAUAACUAGAUCACAUAACUAUCCCUCAACAUGCAACAAAGAGUCACUCCAAAGUCACUAAUAGCGGAGAACAAACGAAGAGAUUAUGGUAGGGUAUGAAACCACCUCAAAGUUAUUCUUUCCAAUCAAUCCGCUGGGUUAUUCCUAUAACUGUCACAAACAGCCCUAGAGUUCGUACUAGAAUAACACCUUAAGACACAAAUCAACCAAAACCCUAAUGUCACCUAGAUACUCCAAUGUCACCUCAAGUAUCUAUGGGUAUGACUAUACGAUAUGCAUCACACAGUCUCAGAUUCAUCUAUUCAACCAACACAUAGAACCUCAAAGAGUGCCCCAAAGAUUCUACCGGAGAGUCAAGACGAAAACGUGUGCCAACCCCUAUGCAUAGAUUCCCAAGGUCACGGAACCCGCAAGUUGAUCACCAAAACAUACAUCAAGUACAUCAAUAGAAUACCCCAUUGUCACCACGGGUAUCCCACGCAAGACAUACAUCAACUGUUCUCAAAUCCUUAAAGACUCAAUCCGAUAAGAUAACUUUAAAGGGAAAAACUCAAUCCAUUACAAGAGAGUAGAGGGGAGAAACAUCAUAAGAUCCAACUAUAAUAGCAAAGCUCGCGAUACAUCAAGAUCGUAUCACCUCAAGAACACGAGAGAGAGAUCAAACACAUAGCUACUGGUACAUACCCUCAGCCCCGAGGGAGAACUACUCCCUCCUCGUCAUGGAGAGCGCCGGGAUGAUGAAGAUGGCCACCGGAGAGGGAUUCACCCUCCGGCAGGGUGCCGGAACGGGUCUAGAUUGGCUUUCGGUGGCUAUGGAGGCUUCUGGCGGCGGAACUCCCGAUCUAUUGUCGUCUCCGAUAGUUUUAGGGUAUAUGGAUAUAUAUAUAGGCGGAAGAAAUACAUCAUGGGAGCCACGAGGGGGCCACGAGGGUGGAGGGCGCGCCCAGGGGGGUGGGCGCGCCCCCUGCCUCGUGCUCUCCUCGUUGAUCCCUUGAUGUGCACUCCAAGUCUCCUAUAUUGCUUUCUUUCCAAAAAUAACUUUUCCGAAGGUUUCAUUCCAUUUGGACUCCGUUUGAUAUUCCUUUUCUGCGAAACACUGAAACAAGGGGAAAACAGAAACUGGCACUGGGCUCUAGGUUAAUAGGUUAGUCCCAAAAAUCAUAUAAAAUAGCAUAUAAAUGCAUAUAAAACAUACCAUGUUGAUAAUAUAAUAGCAUGGAACAAUCAAAAAUAGAUACGUUGGAGACAUAUCAGCAUCCCCAAGCUUAAUUCCUGCUCGUCCUCGAGUAGGUAAAUGAUAAAAAUAGAAUUUUUGUUGUGGAAUGCUACCUAACAUAUUUAUCCAUGUAAUCUUCUUUAUUGUGGCAGGAAUAUUCAGAUCCAUAAGAUUCAAUACAAAAGUUUAAUAUUGACAUAAAAACAAUAAUACUUCAAGCAUACUAACUAAGCAAUCAUGUCUUCUCAAAAUAACAUGGCCAAAGAAAGUUCAUCCCUACAAAAUCAUAUAGUUUGGUCAUGCUCCAUUUUCAUCACACAAGAAUGCUCUCAUCAUGCACAACCCCGAUGACAAGCCAAGAAAUUGUUUCAUACUUUAGUAAUCUCAAACUUUUUUCAACUUUCACGCAAUACAUGAGCGUGAGCCAUGGAUAUAGCACUAUGGGUGGAAUAGAAUAUAAUGAGGGGGUUAUGUGGAGAAGACAAAAAGGAGAAAGUCUCACAUCGACGCGGCUAAUCAAUGGGCUACGGAGAUGCCCAUCAAUUGAUGUCAAUGCAAGGAGUAGGGAUUGCCAUGCAAUGGAUGCACUAGAGCUAUAAAUGUAUGAAAGCUCAACAAAAGAAACUAAGUGGGUGUGCAUCCAACUUGCUUGCUCACGAAGACCUAGGGCACUUGAGGAGCCCCAUUGUUGGAAUAUACAAGCCAAGUUCUAUAAUGAAAAAUUCACACUAGUAUAUGGAAGUGACAAAACAAGAGACUCUCUAUCAUAAAGAUCAUGGUGCUACUUUGAAGCACAAGUGUGGUAAAAAGGAUAGUAGCAUUGUCCCUUUUAUUUUUUUAUUUUUUUUAUUUGGCCCCCUUUUUGGCCUUUUUUUAUUUGGCCUUUCUUUUUCUUUUAUUUUUUUGGCCUUUUUUGGACAAUGCUCUAUUAAUGAUGAUCAUCACACUUCUAUUUAUUUACAACUCAAAGAUUACAACUCGAUACUAGAACAAAGUAUGACUCUAUAUGAAUGCCUCCGGCGGUGUACCGGGAUAGCAAUGAAUCAAGAGUGACAUGUAUGAAAAAUUAUGAAUGGUGGCUUUGCCACAAAUACAAUGUCAACUACAUGAUCAUGCAAAGCAAUAUGACAAUGAUGAUGCGUGUCAUAAUAAACAGAACGGUGGAAAGUUGCAUGGCAAUAUAUCUCGGAAUGGCUAUGGAAAUGCCAUAAUAGGUAGGUAUGGUGGCUGUUUUGAGGAAGAUAUAAGGAGGUUUAUGUGUGAAAGAGCGUAUCAUAUCACGGGGUUUGGAUGCACCGGCGAAGUUUGCACCAACUCUCAAUGUGAGAAAGGGCAAUGCACGGUACCGAAGAGGCUAGCAAUGAUGGAAGGGUAAGAGUGCGUAUAAUCCAUGGACUCAACAUUAGUCAUAAAGAACUCACAUACUUAUUGCAAAAAUUUACAAGUCAUCAAAAAUCAAGUAUUACGCGCAUGCUCCUAGGGGGAUAGAUUGGUAGGAAAGACCAUCGCUCGUCCCCGACCGCCACUCAUAAGGAAGACAAUCAAAUAACACCUCAUGUUUCAAAUUUGUUACACAACGUUUACCAUAUGUGCAACACAAGUAUUCCUCAAAUUCACAACUACUCGACUAGCACAAUUUUGAUAUCACUAUCUCCAUAUCUCAAAACAAUCAUCAAGUAUCAAACUUCUCUUAGUAUUCAAUGCACUUAUAUGAAAGUUUUUAUUAUAUCCCUCUUGGAUGCCCAUCAUAUUAGGACUAAAUUCAUAACCAAAACACAUUACCAUGCUGAUUAGAACUCUCAAAAUAAUAUAAGUGAUGCAUGAGAGUUCAUCUAUUUCUAUAAAAUAAAACCACCACCGUGCUCUAAAAGGAUAUAAGUGAAGCACUUGAGCAACAACAAACUACUCCGAAGGAUAUAAGUGAAGAUCAAUGAGUAGUCGAGUAAUUAUGCAACUAUGUGAAGACUCUCUAACAUUUAAGAAUUUCAGAUCUUGGUAUUUUAUUCAAACAGCAAGCAAAACUAAAUAAAAUAAAAUGACUCUCCAAGCAAAACACAUAUCAUGUGGUAAAUAAAAAUAUAGCUCCAAGUAAAGUUACCGAUGAACGAAGACGAAAGAGGGGAUGCCUUCCGGAGCAUCCCCAAGCUUAGGAUCUUGGUUGUCCUUGAAUAUUACCUUGGUGUGCCCUGGGAAUCCCCAAGCUUAGGCUCUUUCCACUCCUUAUUCCAUAGUCCAUAGAAUCUUUACCCGAAAUUUGAAAACUUCACAACACAAAACUUAACAGAAAACUCGUAAGCUCCGUUAGUAUAAGAAAAUAAAUCACCACUUAGGUACUGUUUUGAACUCAUUCUAAAUUCAUAUUGGUGUAAUAUCUACUGUAUUACAACUUAUCUAUGGUUCAUACCCUCCGAUACUACUCAUAGAUUCAUCAAAAUAAGCAAACAACACAUAGAAAACAGAAUCUGUCAAAAACAGAACAGUCUGUAGUAAUCUGGAUCAAACGUAUACUUAUGGAACUCAUAAAAUUCUCAAAUAAAUUGGUGGACCUGGGAAAUUUAUCUAUUAAUCAACUUCAAAAAUAAUUAACUAAAUAGCACUCUCCAAUAAAACAUGGCAGCAAAUCUCGUGAGCGCUAAAGUUUCUGUUUUUUUACAGCAUGAUCGCAAAGACUUCACCCAAGUCUUCCCAAAGGUUCUACUUGGCACAAACACUAAUUAAAACAUAAAACCACAUCUAAACAGAGGCAAUAUGAAUUAUUUAUUACUAAACAGGAGCAAAAAGUAAAGAACAAGAAUAGGAUUGGGUUGCCUCCCAACAAGCGCUAUCGUUUAACGCCCCUAGCUGGGCAUGAUGAUUUCAAUGAUGCUCACAUAAAGGAUAAGAAUUGAAACAUAAAGAGAGCAUCAUGAAGAAUAUGACUAGCACAUUUAAGUCUAACCCACUUCCUAUGCAUAGGGAUUUUGUGAGCAAACAACUUAUGGAAAUAAGAAUCAACUUGCAUAGGAAGGUAAAACAAGCAUAACUUCAAAACUUUAAGCACAUAGAGAGGAAACUUGAUAUUAUUGCAAUUCCUACAAGCAUAUAUUCCUCCAUCAUAAUAAUUUUCAGUAGCAUCAUGAAUGAAUUCAACAAUAUAACCAGCACCUAAAGCAUUCUUUUCAUGAUCUACAAGCAUAGAAUUUUUAUUACUCUCCACAUAAGCAAAAUUCUUCUCAUUCGGAAUAGUGGGAGUAUCAUAAGAGACUCGAAUACUAUAAAUUGUUUACACAUUAAGAGAGUGAUGUUUAGAAAAGGGGUAAUCAUAAUCAUGACAAGUUUUAUAAAGAUAAUCACUACUUUUAUAGCAUAAGUAUCAUCACAAUAAUCAUCAUAGAUAGGAGGCAUGCUGUCAUCAUUAUAAAUUUGCAUAUCAAAACUUGGGAGACUAAAAAUAUCAUCUUCAUUAAACGUAGCAUCCCCAAGCUUGGGACAAACGUUAAUUGCAGCAAAUAUAUUCUCAAAAACAUCAUCUUCAUCAAACAUAGCAUCCCCAAGCUUGGGCCUUUUCAUAUCAUAAGCAUAAUCACUCUCAUCAUUAAUAGUAUGGAUAGCACCAAUAGUAUAGCAAUUAUCAUAUUCUUCCAAGCAAGUGCCAAAAAGAUUUUCAAGAUCAUAAGAAGUAUCAUUAUCUUCCACAAUUAUAUUUUCAUGAGGCACAAUAGUAAUAGGAGCAGCAUUAUUUGGGGGAGAUAUCUUUUUACCUAUCUUCCUUUUUAUUUUCUUAUUCUUCACCACAUCAUGUGUGGGUUCAAUCCUCUUUUUGGAGCUCCUUAUUAAUGAGAUUAGUUGAAUAGGAGGCUCCUCCUCGUUACCUGAUUCAACAUAAGAAAUAAUAGGAGGGUAUUGGGAAGUCUCUUCCCUUUAAUUAAUAUUCUUUUCAUCUUCUAUUUAUUUUCUUUUCUUUAUGUAGUUGGCAAUAUAAAGAUUUUCAAUACAAUUCACCGCACAAUACAUAUAAAUUUUCUCUAGAUCAAAGCCAAGAAGUUUAUCACGGGCAAAUACUGGAAGAUAGUUAGUUAUACGUUUCAUUUCUUCGUAACCCAUAAGCAAACUAAGUUCAUUAUGAUGUGCAAGAGAAAUCAAGUCAUCACAAUUUUUGGAAACGAUUAGAUCAUGAAACAAUUUGCAUCGAAUGGUUAAAUGACCAUGUUCAUUGCAAAUCUCACAAGUAUGGCCAAGAAAAUUUAAAUUUUCAGCACAAACAUCUACCCUUUCUUGCAACAAUUUAGUUUCUAAAUACUUAUGCCUCUUGCAAAAUCUAUCUUCCCUAAUUGGUGUGUACUUGCAAACCCAAUGCACUCCACAAAAAUUGACAUGUUUAUAGGAGACAUUUUCAUCAUAACUAAUGCAAUCAUCAUUAGUACUAUGGAUAUUCAAGGAAUUCAUACUAACAACAUUGCAAUCAUGCUCAUCAUUCAAAGAUUUAGUGCCAAACAUUUUAAUGCAUUCUUCCUCUAACACUUUGGCGCAAUUUUCCUUUCCAUCAUACUCGCGAAAUAUAUUAAAAAGAUGAAGCAUAUGAGGCAAACUUAAUUCCAUAUUUUUUGUAAUUUUCUUAUAUAAACUAAACUAGUGAUAAAACAAGAAACUAGAAGAAUCGAUCGCAAGAUCUAAAGAUAUACUUUCAAGCACUCACCUCCACGGCAACGGCGCCAGAAAAGAGUUUGAUGUCUACUACACAACCUUCUUCUUGUAGACGUUGUUGGGCCUCCACGUGCAGAGGUUUGUAGGACAGUAGAAAAUUUCCCUCAAGUGGAUGACCUAACGUUUAUCAAUCUGUAGGAGGCGUAGGAUGAAGAUGGUCUCUCUCAAACAACCCUGCAACCAAAUAACAAAGAGUCUCUUGUGUCCCCAACACACCCAAUGCAAUGGUAAAUUGUAUAGGUGCACUAGUUCGGCAAAGAGAUGGUGAUACAAGUGCAAUAUGGAUAGUAGAUAAUGGUUUUUGUAAUCUAAAAAUAUAAAAACAGCAAGGUAACUAAUGAUAAAAGUGAGUGUAAACGGUAUUGCAAUGCUAGGAAACAAGGCCUAGGGUUCAUACUUUCACUAGUGCAAGUUCUCUCAACAAUAAUAACAUCAUUGGAUCACAUAACUAUCCCUCGACAUGCAACAAAGAGUCACUCCAAAGUCACUAAUAGAGGAGAACAAAUGAAGAGAUUAUGGUAGGGUACAAAACCACCUCAAAGUUAUUCUUUCCAAUCAAUCUGCUGGGUUAUUCCUAUAAGUGUCACAAACAGCCCUAGAGUUCAUACUAGAAUAACACCUUAAGACACAAAUCAACCAAAACCCUAAUGUCACCUAGAUACUCCAAUUUCACCUCAAGUAUCUGUGGGUAUGAUUAUAUGAUAUGCAUCACACAAUCUCAGAUUUAUCUAUUCAACCAACACAUAGAACCUCAAAGAGUGCCCCAAAGAUUCUACCGGAGAGUCAAGACGAAAACGUGUGCCAACCCCUAUGCAUAGAUUCCCAAGGUCACGAAACCCGCAAGUUGAUCACCAAAACAUACAUCAAGUACAUCAAUAGAAUACCCCAUUGUCACCACGAGUAUCCCACGCAAGACAUACAUCAAGUGUUCUCAAAUCCUUAAAGACUCAAUCCGAUAAGAUAACUUCAAAGGGAAAACUCAAUCCAUUACAAGAGAGUAGAGGGGGAGAAACAUCAUAAGAUCCAACUAUAAUAGCAAAGCUCGUGAUACAUCAAGAUCGUAUCACCUCAAGAACACAAGAGAGAGAGAGAUCAAACACAUAGCUACUGGUACAUACCCUCAGCCCCGAGGGAGAACUACUCCCUCCUCGUCAUGGAGAGCGCCGGGAUGAUGAAGAUGGCCACCGGAGAGGGAUUCCCCCUCCGGCAGGGUGCCGGAACGGGUCUAGAUUGGCUUUCGGUGGCGACGAGUAAAGUGACUUGCCGGUAACGAGAUUGAACGAGGUAUUGGGAUACCGACGAUCGAGUCUCGGGCAAGUAACGUACCGAUUGACAAAGGGAAUUGUAUACGUAAUUGAUUAAGUCCUCGACAUCGUGGUUCAUCUGAUGAGAUCAUCGAGGAGCAUGUGGGAGCCAACAUGGGUAUCCAGAUCCCGCUGUUGGUUAUUGACUGGAGAGCCGUCUCGGUCAUGUCUACGUGUCUCCCGAACCCGUAGGGUCUACACACUUAAGGUUCGGUGAUGCUAGGGUUGUAGAGAUAUGAGUAUGCAGUAACCCGAAAGUUGUUCGGAGUCCCGGAUGAGAUCCUGGACGUCACGAGGAGUUCCGGAAUGGUCCGGAUGUGAAGAAUUAUAUAUAGGAAGUGCAGUUUCGGCCAUCGGGAGAGUUUCGGGGGUCACCGGUAUUGUAUCGGGACCACCGGAAGGGUCCCGGGGGUCCACCCAUCCCGGAGGGCCCCAUCGGCUGAAGUGGGGAGGGGAACCAGCCCAUAGUGGGCUGGUGCGCCCCCCCUUGGGCCCCCCAUGCGCCUAGGGUUGGGAACCCUAGGGGAGGGGGCGCCUCCACUUGCCUUGGGGGGUACUCCACCCCCUUGGCCGCCGCCCCCCCUAGGAGAUCCCAUCUCCUAGGGUCGGCGCACCCCCUAGGGGGGCCUAUAUAAAGGGGGGAGGGAGGGCAGCACACACCUCAAGUCUUGGCGCCUCCCUCUCCCCUGCUACACCUCUCCCUCUCGCAGAAGCUCGGCGAAGCCCUGCUGCGAUCACUGCUGCAUCCACCACCACAACGUCGUUCUGCUGGAUCUUCAUCAACCUCUCCUUCCCCCUUGCUGGAUCAAGGAGGAGACGUCAUCUGCUCCGUAUGUGUGUUGAACGCGGAGGUGCCGUCCGUUCGGCACUUGGUCAUCGGUGAUUUGGAUCACGGCGAGUACGACUCCAUCAUCCCCGUUCUCUUGAAUGCUUCCGCUCGCGAUCUACAAGGGUAUGUAGAUGCACUCUCCUCUCGUUGCUAGUUGACUCCGUAGAUUGAUCUUGGUGAAACGUAGGAAAAUUUUUUGUUUUCUGCAACGUUCCCCAACAGUGGCAUCAUGAGCUAGGUCUAUGCGUAGUUACUAUGCACGAGUAGAACACAAAGUAGUUGUGGGCGUCGAUAUUGUCAAUUUGCUUGCCGUUACUAGUCUUAUCUUGAUUCGGCGGCAUCGUGGGAUGAAGCGGCCCGGACCAACCUUACACGUACGCUUACGUGAGACCGGUUCCACCGACUGACAUGCACUAGUUGCAUAAGGUGGCUGGCAGGUGUCUGUCUCUCCCACUUUAGUCGGAUCGGAUUCGAUGAAUAGGGUCCUUAUGAAGGGUAAAUAGAAAUUGGCAAUUCACGUUGUGGUUUUGGCGUAGGUAAGAAAACGUUCUUGCUAGAACUCUAUUGCAGCCACGUAAAACUUGCAACAACAAUUAAAGGACGUCUAACUUGUUUUUUGCAGCAAGUGUCAUGUGAUGUGAUAUGGCCAAAGUUGUGAUGAAUGAUGAAUGAUAUAUAUGUGAUGUAUGAGAUCAUGUUCUUGUAAUAGGAAUCACGACUUGCAUGUCGAUGAGUAUGACAACCGGCAGGAGCCAUAGGAGUUGUCUUUAUUUUUUGUAUGACCUGCGUGUCAUUGAGAAACGCCAUGUAAAUUACUUUACUUUAUUGCUAAACGUGUUAGGCAUAGUAGUAGAAGUAAUAGUUGGCGAGCAACUUCAUGGAGACACGAUGAUGGAGAUCAUGGUGUCAUGUCGGUGACAAGAUGAUCAUGGAGCCCCAAGAUGAAGAUCAAAGGAGCUAUAUGAUAUUGGCCAUAUCAUGUCAUUAUUAUUUGAUUGCAUGUGAUGUUUAUCAUGUUUUUGCAUCUUGUUUACUUAGAACGACGGUAGUAAAUAAGAUGAUCCCUCAUAAUAAUUUCAAGAAAGUGUUCCCCCUAACAGUGCGCCAUUGCGACAGCUCGUUGUUUCAAAGCACCACGUGAUGAUCGGGUGUGAUAGAUUCCAACGUUCACAUACAAUGGGUGUAAGACAGAUUUACACAUGCAAACACUUAGGUUGACUGGACGAGCCUGGCAUGUACAGACAUGGCCUUGGAACACAGAAGACCGAAAGGUCGAGCGUGAGUUAUAGAAGAUACGAUCAACAUGAAGAUGUUCACCGAUGUUGACUAGUCCAUCUCACGUGAUGAUCGGACACGGCCUAGUUGACUCGGAUCAUGUUAUACUUAGAUGACUGGAGGGAUGUCUAUCUGAGUGGGAGUUCAUUGAAUAAUUUGAUUAGAUGAACUUAAUUAUCAUGAACUUAGUCUAAAAUCUUUACAAUAUGUCUUGUAGAUCAAAUGGCCAAAGUUGUCCUCAACCUCAACGCGUUCCUAGAGAAAACCAAGCUGAAAGACGAUGGCAGCAACUAUACGGACUGGGUCCGGAACCUGAGGAUCAUCCUCAUUGCUGCCAAGAAAGAUUAUGUCCUACGAGCACCGCUAGGUGAAGCACCCGCUUUCCCUCAGAACAAGACGUUAUGAACGCUUGGCAGACACGUGCUGAUGAUUACUCCCUCGUUCAGUGCGGCAUGCUUUACAGCUUAGAACCGGGGCUCCAAAAGCGUUUUGAGCGACACGGAGCAUAUGAGAUGUUCGAAGAGCUGAAAAUGGUUUUCCAAGCUCAUGCCCGGGUCGAGAGAUAUGAAGUCUCCGACAAGUUCUUCAGCUGUAAGAUGGAGGAAAAUAGUUCUGUCAGUGAGCACAUACUCUUCAGAUGUCUGGGUUGCAUAACCGCUUGACUCAGCUGGGAGUUAAUCUCCCGGAUGACGCGGUCAUUGACAGAAUCCUUCAGUCACUUCCACCGAGCUACAAGAGCUUUGUGAUGAACUUCAAUAUGCAGGGGAUGGAAAAGACCAUUCCUGAAGUAUUUGCAAUGCUGAAAUCAGCAGAGGUAGAAGUCAAAAAGGAACAUCAAGUGUUGAUGGUGAAUAAAACCACUAAGUUCAAGAAAGGCAAGGGUAAGAAGAACUUCAAGAAGGACGGCAAGGGAGUUGCCGCGCCCGGUAAGCAAGCUGCCGAGAAGAAGCCAAAGAAUGGACCCAAGCCCGAGACUGAGUGUUUUUAUUGCAAGGGAAGUGGUCACUGGAAGCAGAACUGCCCCAAAUACUUAGCGGACAAGAAGGCCGGCAUCACGAAAGGUAUAUGUGAUAUACAUGUAAUUGAUGUGUACCUUACCAGUACUCGUAGUAGCUCCUGGGUAUUUGAUACCGGUGCGGUUGCUCACAUUUGUAACUCAAAGCAGGAGCUGCGGAAUAAGCGGAGACUGGCGAAGGACGAGGUGACGAUGCGCGUCGGGAAUGGUUCCAAGGUCGAUGCGAUCGCCGUCGGCACGCUACCUCUACAUUUACCUAUGGGAUUAGUUUUAAACCCCAAUAAUUGUUAUUUAGUGCCAGCUUUGAGCAUGAACAUUGUAUCAGGAUCUCGUUUAAUUUGAGAUGGCUACUCAUUUAAAUCUGAGAAUAAUGGUUGUUCUAUUUAUAUGAGAGAUAUGUUUUAUGGUCAUGAUCCGAUGGUGAAUGGUUUAUUCUUAAUGAAUCUCGAGCGUAAUGUUACACAUAUUCAUAGUGUGAAUACCAAAAGAUGUAAAGUUGAUAAUGAUAGUCCCACAUACUUGUGGCACUGCCGCCUUGGUCACAUAGGUGUCAAACGCAUGAAGAAGCUCCAUGCAGAUGGACUUUUGGAGUCUCUUGAUUACGAAUCAUUUGACACGUGUGAACCAUGCCUCAUGGGUAAAAUGACCAAGACUCCGUUCUCAGGAACAAUGGACCGAGCAACCAACUUAUUGGAAAUCAUACAUACUGAUGUGUGCGGUCCAAUGAGUGUUGAGGCUCGCGGUGGCUAUCGUUAUGUUCUCACCCUCACUGAUGACUUGAGUAGAUAUGGGUAUGUCUACUUAAUGAAACACAAGUCUGAGACCUUUGAAAAGUUCAAGGAAUUUCAGAGUGAGGUUGAGAAUCAACAUGACAGGAAAAUCAAGUUCUUGCAAUCAUAUCGUGGGGGAGAAUACUUGAGUCACGAAUUUGGCACACACUUAAGAAAAUGUGGAAUAGUUUCAAAACUCACGCCGCCUAGAACACCUCAGCGUAAUGGUGUGUCCGAACAUCGUAAUCGCACUCUAUUAGAUAUGGUGCGAUCUAUGAUGUCUCUUACCAAUUUACCGCUAUCAUUUUGGGGCUAUGCUUUAGAGACUGCCGCAUUCACUUUAAAAAGGGCUCCGUCAAAAUCCGUUGAGACGACACCGUAUGAAUUAUGGUUUGGGAAGAAACCUAAGCUGUCGUUUCUAAAAGUUUGGGGAUGCGAUGCUUAUGUCAAGAAACUUCAACCUGAAAAGCUCGAACCCAAGUCGGAAAAAUGCGUCUUCAUAGGAUACCCUAAAGAAACUAUUGGGUAUACCUUCUACCUCAGAUCCGAAGGCAAGAUCUUUGUUGCCAAGAAUGGAUCCUUUCUAGAGAAAGAGUUUCUCUCGAAGGAAGUAAGUGGGAGGAAAGUAGAACUCGAUGAAGUAUUACCUCUUGAACCGGAAAGUGGCGCAACAUAGGAAAAUGUUCCUGAGGUGCCUGCACCGACUAGAGAGGAAGUUAAUGAUGAUGAUCAUGAAACUUCAGAUCAAGUUGCUACUGAACUUCGUAGGUCCAUAAGGACACGUUCCGCACCAGAGUGGUACGGCAACCCUGUCUUGGAAAUCAUGUUGUUAGACAACGGUGAACCUUCAAACUAUGAAGAAGCGAUGGCGGGCCCGGAUUCUGACAAAUGGCUGGAAGCCAUGAAAUCCGAGAUAGGAUCCAUGUAUGAAAACGAAGUAUGGACUUUGACUGACUUGCCCGUUGAUCGGCGAGCCAUAGAAAAUAAAUGGAUCUUUAAGAAGAAGACAGACGCGGAUGGUAAUGUGACCAUCUAUAAAGCUCGGCUUGUCGCUAAGGGUUAUCGACAAGUUCAAGGGGUUGACUACGAUGAGACUUUCUCACCUGUAGCGAAGCUGAAGUCCGUCCGAAUCAUGUUAGCAAUUGUCGCAUUCUAUGGUUAUGAGAUAUGGCAAAUGGACGUCAAAACGGCAUUCCUUAAUGGUUUCCUUAAGGAAGAAUUGUAUAUGAUGCAGCCGGAAGGUUUUGUUGAUCCUAAGAAUGCUGAUAAGGUGUGCAAGCUCCAACACUCGAUUUAUGGGCUGGUGCAAUCAUCUUGGAGUUGGAACAUUCGCUUUGAUGAGAUGAUCAAAGCGUUUGGGUUUAUGCAGACUUAUGGAGAAGCCUGCAUUUACAGGAAAGUGAGUGGGAGCUCUGUAGCAUUUCUCAUAUUAUAUGUAGAUGACAUACUUUUGAUGGGAAAUGAUAUAGAACUUUUGGACAGCAUUAAGGCCUACUUGAAUAAGAGUUUUUCAAUGAAGGACCUUGGAGAAGCUGCUUAUAUAUUAGGCAUCAAGAUCUAUAGAGAUAGAUCAAGAUGCCACAUUGGUCUUUCACAGAGCAUGUACCUUGACAAGAUAUUGAAGAAGUUCAAAAUGGAUCAGUCAAAGAAGGGGUUCUUGCCUAUAUUGCAAGGUACGAGAUUGAGCAUGGCUCAAAGCCCGACCAUGGCAGAAGAUAGAGAAAAGAUGAGUGUCGUCCCCUAUGCCUCAGCCAUAGGGUCUAUCAUGUAUGCUAUGCUGUGUACCAGACCUGAUGUAAACCUUGCCAUAAGUUUGGUAGGAAGGUACCAAAGUAAUCCCGGCAUGGAACACUGGACAGCGGCCAAGAAUAUCCUGAAGUACCUAAAAAGGACUAAGGAUGUUUCUCGUUUAUGGAGGUGACGAAGAGCUCGUCGUAAAGGGUUACGUCGAUGCUAGCUUCGACACAGAUCUGGAUGACUCUAAGUCACAAACCGGAUACGUGUAUAUUUUGAAUGGUGGGGCAGUAAGCUGGUGCAGUUGCAAGCAAAGCGUUGUGGCGGGAUCUACAUGUGAAGCGGAGUACAUGGCAGCCUCGGAGGCAGCACACGAAGCAGUCUGGGUGAAGGAAUUCAUUACCGACCUAGGAGUCAUACCCAAUGCGUCGGGGCCGAUGACUCUCUUCUGUGACAACACUGGAGCUAUUGCCCUUGCCAAGGAGCCCAGGUUUCACAGGAAGACCAGGCAUAUCAAGCGUCGCUUCAACUCCAUUCGUGAAAGUGUUCAAAAUGGAGACAUAGAAAUUUGUAAAGUACAUACGGACCUGAAUGUAGCAGAUCCGUUGACUAAACCUCUCCCUAGAGCAAAACAUGAUCAACACCAGAAUUCCAUGGGUGUUCGAUUCAUCACAAUGUAACUAGAAUAUUGAAUCUAGUGCAAGUGGGAGACUGUUGGAAAUAUGCCCUAGAGGCAAUAAUAAAAUGGUUAUUAUUAUAUUUCUUUGUUCAUGAUAAUUGUCUAUUGUUCAUGCUAUAAUUGUGUUAUCCGGAAAUCGUAAUACAUGUGUGAACACAUAGACCACAACACGUCCCUAGUGAGCCUCUAGUUGACUAGCUCGUUGAUCAAAAGAUAGUCAUGGUUUCCUGACUAUGGACAUUGGAUGUCAUUGAUAACGGGAUCACAUCAUUAGGAGAAUGAUGUGAUGGACAAGACCCAAUCCUAAGCUUAGCUCAAAGAUCGUGUAGUUUGUUUGCUGUAGCUUUUCUGAGUGUCAAGUAUCAUUUCCUUAGACCAUGAGAUUGUGCAACUCCCGGAUACCGUAGGAGUGCCUUGGGUGUGCCAAACGUCACAACGUAACUGGGUGACUAUAAAGGUACAUUACAGGUAUCUCCAAAAGUGUUUGUUGGGUUGGCACGAAUCAAGACUGGGAUUUGUCACUUCGUAUGACGGAGAGGUAUCUCUGGGCCCACUCGGUAAUGCAUCAUCACAAUGAGCUCAAAGUGAUCAAGUGGUUGAUCACGGGAUCAUGCAUUACGGUACGAGUAAAGUGACUUGCCGGUAACGAGACUGAACGAGGUAUUGGGAUACCGACAAUCGAGUCUCGGGCAAGUAACGUACCGAUUGACAAAGGGAAUUGUAUACGGGAUUGAUUAAGUCCUCGACAUCAUGGUUCAUCCGAUGAGAUCAUCGAGGAGCAUGUGGGAGCCAACAUGGGUAUCCAGAUCCCGCUGUUGGUUAUUGACCGGAGAGCCGUCUCGGUCAUGUCUACGUGUCUCCCGAACCCGUAGGGUCUACACACUUAAGGUUCGGUGACGCUAGGGUUGUAGAGAUAUGAGUAUGCAGUAACCCGAAAGUUGUUCGGAGUCCCUGAUGAGAUCUCGGACGUCACGAGGAGUUCCGGAAUGGUCCGGAUGUGAAGAAUUAUAUAUAGGAAGUGCAGUUUCGGCCAUCGGGAGAGUUUCGGGGGUCACCGGUAUUGUACCGGGACCACCGGAAGGGUCCCAGGGGUCCACCGGGUGGGGCCACCCAUCCUGGAGGGUGGGCUGAAGUGGGGAGAGGAACCAGCCCAUAGUGGGCUGGUGCGCCUCCCCACCCUUGGGCCCCCCAUGCUCCUAGGGUUGGGAACCCUAGGGGAGGGGGCGCCUCCACUUGCCUUGGGGGGUACUCCACCCCCUUGGCCGCCGCCCCCCUAGGAGAUCCCAUCUCCUAGGGCCGGUGCACCCCCCUAGGGGGGCCUAUAUAAAGGGGGGGAGGGAGGGCAGCACACACCUCAAGUCUUGGCGCCUCCCUCUCCCUUGCUACACCUCUCCCUCUCGCAGAAGCUCGGCGAAGCCCUGCUGCGAUCACUGCUGCAUCCACCAUCACGCCGUCGUGCUGCUGGAUCUUCAUCAACCUCUCCUUCCCCCUUGCUGGAUCAAGAAGGAGGAGCCGUCAUCCGCUCCGUACGUGUGUUAAACGCGGAGGUGCCAUCCGUUCGGCACUUGGUCAUGGGUGAUUUGGAUCACGGCGAGUACGACUCCAUCAUCCCCGUUCUCUUGAACGCUUCCGCUCGCGAUCUACAAGGGUAUGUAGAUGCACUCUCCUCUCGUUGCUAGUUGACUCCAUAGAUUGAUAUUGGUGAAACGUAGGAAAAAAAUUUGUUUUCUGCAACGUUCCCCAACAGUACAAGGGCCUGUGCGUCGGAUCGGGCUGUGGGCCAGAAGAAGCCUGUACGAAAGGCUUUACUUGCUAGGGCUCGGGCUGCGGCGUGAUGACCACCGAGGCCAGCAUGUAUUUUGGCCAAGAGCUGUCGCCCCUCCUCUUUAGAGAUACAUCUUUGAAGGACUCCGGUGGUGCUUUUCUUGUAGAGCUCUCCCUCGUGGACUUUAUAAGACUUAGAGCGUCGGACUAUGCGAUGGACCUCGUUCUAAUCGUUAGAGAGCUCCUGCCUAUUAAGGUAGGCCAAGAAGGGUCCGGCCUAUUAAGGAAGGUGUAGGCUCGGUGCUCGAGCCCCCGAUGGUAUCCGAAUCAUGUUCGGCAUCCGGGGGUAUGAUCAGCGCCGGACUAUUAUUUCCGCUCUCGUCCUGCCAUACCAUGGAUGGUUUGAAAAGCUUCUCCAAAAAGGUGUUAGGGAGGACGGGGUCGCGUUUAGCUCCCAGACGAGCAAGGAUGUCCACUUCCUGAUUACUAUCUUGAGCCACAUGAUGAAACUCGAGCCCCUCAAAUCGAGCGGAUAUUCUAAGUAUGGCAUUGCGGUAAGCUACCAUCUUUGGAUCCUUUGCGUCGAAUUCUCCAUUUAUUUGGGAUAUCACGAGGUUCGAAUUCCCACGUAGUUCGAGGCGUUGUAUGCCCAUAGAAACGGCCAUCCGGAGUCCAUGCAGGAGUGCUUCAUAUUCGACUGCAUUAUUAGAAUCCGUAUACAUGAGUUGUAAUACAUAACAGACUGUGUCCCCUGCACGGGAAAUUAGGAUGACACCAGCUCCCGGUCCGGCUAACAUUUUGGAGCCGUCAAAGUACAUCACCCAGUUGGAGUAUGUGUUGUACUCUUUAGGGAGUUCGGCUUCUGUCCAUUCGGCGACGAAGUCAGCCAACACCUGAGAUUUAAUAGCUCGGCGUGGCUUGUAUGUUAUUUCGAAUGCUAAGAGCUCUAUAGCCCAUUUGGCAAUACGGUCGGUGGCGUCUCAGUUGUUUGUGAUAUUAUUGAGUGGUACUUCAGAGGCCACCGUGAUCGACCACUCUUGAAUAUGAAUAUGAUGUUAGUUUACAUGUUAAAUAUUUUAAAUGCUAUUUAGGGUGAAACCUUAAUCAAUAGCGCACGAUCCAUCUUCUUUCGUACCGACACUGACCCGGAUUGCAAUGAACACCUCAUCAAAGCAAAAUUGGAGAAGAAACAAACCGUCGAUAACUGUGCAUGUACGCAUCGGCAAAAUUUUGCAUAAAAACAGAUUUCUCAUCUUAUGCCAAGAGAAAGAGACACCUUAACAAGACAUAUUGUAGGUCUUAGUCAUGGUAUUGGGUUAGGGCUGUGCGAUAUUUUCUCCUCCAGUUGUAACACACGGGCUCAUUUGCUAGUAAGGCUAAUACAUGCCACCGACUAUCAAAAAUUGGCAUGUUCUAAAUACUAGAGCUAUGGAGAAAGUUCACCCACAACUGUCCUUACCCUUGCCCUUGUCGUCUUCGUCGCACAAGUAGCGACCAAAGACGUCGAGUCAGAUCUACUCACUGUCGGAGUUGUCUAAUCCAUCAUCGGCCUCCUCCUCUUUGGAGCAGUCUGGCGAGGGCACAUACCGCCAGAGUUUGCUCCUUUUUCUGAGGGCACGCACCAUCCAGACUUGCUGCUUGACGAGGAUGCGGGCCUGGAGGGGCAUCCUCGGUUCUGUCCGACGCGGCAUGCGACUCUGCCUUCGUUGUUUGCCGCACCCUCUCCCUCACUUGGCGGGCAUACCAGUCCUAGGCGCAUCCAUGAGCGGGCCAUCUACUAGCAUUGGCCUUCUACUCAGAGAUCGACGUCAUGGGGACGAGGCUCCACGACAGGGGUUGCGUCGCCAUCCUGGAGCCGCCCGGUUGGGCAUGGCGAUCCGCCACGGUCCCGUGCCUCGAGCUACCGGCGUGGGCGGAUUCCCGCUGUAGCAACUCGGUCCGCGGUGCUCGGGCGAAUUCCUCUUGAGAGCGGCGGAGAGCCAGGCGGAUGGCCAGCUCCUGUGGGGACGAGGUCCCAGUCGAUGAACUCGGAGUUGUCGGAAUCAUAUCCGAUGCUCGCCAUGUCGAGGCCAGAGAUCGCCGCAGAGGAGUUGGGGGAGGACAGACCGGUGCGGACUUGAAGUGAAGUGGAGUGGCAAGUGGCUAGGGUUACGUCUGGAUGCGGAUAGCAUGGAGGAUAUUUGUUGGGUCAGGGUGGACCAACAUGAGCCGGAUCUGACAUGGCAAACACGUCUAGGCCUCUCCCACAAUCGUCUCAGAUAUGAGAUCCGUAUGAGAGGUAUGGCUGGGUGACGAGUCACUGACCAGGCCGUCGGUGCAGGGCAAUAUAAAAGAUCCGGCUGUAGCUCUAACCUGUGCACUUCCGAGUGGCCAGAGGACUUGGAAGCACUUGAGGUCUAUAUAGAUGUCACGUGUGCUACGAGCAUGUUGCAUGAUACCAACUGUAUCUCUCAAGCAGUUUCAUCAAUCGCUAUUGCCAUCGUACGAUCACAGCACGCGAAGGAGAAAACGUGCCGUGAGCACACCCGGGACCUGCAAGAGACUUUCGCCGACACCCUAAAUAGUUGCGUAGCUCAGCUCUGUUUCAUGACAAAUAUAGGGGUAACUCGAUGGACCAGCCACACAAACAAACAAUCGUGUGUUGCCGUGCAAGCAGAUGAAAUCAGUUGUAGGUUUUGAAUACCAAAUUAGCUACAACGCUGCAUCAAGAAUCUUCAAAUAUUGCCAGAAAAUACUGCAGCUUGCAGUAGAAAUCCACGAACAAUACUGCAAAGGGUAUCCAAAACUGUAAUAUAACCAAGUACUCAGGUCAAACCGUCAAACACAAAGUAAUAGCAUACGGGUAAUGAGAUCCAGAUCCACCCUCGGAACAAGAAAAUGGACGGAAAUCUCUAGCUUAAUUCAGUAACCACAGGCUUAGCAUACGGCGCAGGCUUGACUGAACACUCAUCACCAUCUGUCCUCCAAAAAAAAGCCUCGGCCAUUUCAC
This 54703-nucleotide long non-coding RNA is filed under the name Triticum aestivum (bread wheat). RNAcentral's name for it is "long non-coding RNA (TAES_LNC021035)". Lineage: Eukaryota; Viridiplantae; Streptophyta; Magnoliopsida; Poales; Poaceae. The record is from RNAcentral.